This 72322-nucleotide long non-coding RNA is filed under the name Gossypium barbadense (sea-island cotton). RNAcentral describes it as "long non-coding RNA (GBAR_LNC017679)". The stretch from base 27000 to 27144 matches the Rfam family "MIR7502 microRNA precursor family". Lineage: Eukaryota; Viridiplantae; Streptophyta; Magnoliopsida; Malvales; Malvaceae. The record is from RNAcentral.
UGGACUUUAGAUAUUAUAUAUCGAUACAGCAACAGUGAGUAUCACUUGAAAUUAAACCUUAUUUUACAAAUGUUUUGAUAUACCAAAAUAAUAACACACACAAAAAAAGUAGUCCGUAUAUAUAUUCACGGGAAAUUAAAUAUAUAUUCAAGAUUACACAACUAUGAUAAAGCACACAAUAUAUUAAAACUAGCAUAUGACUAGGAAGCAGACCCCAACGUGUAGGGAGAGAAAAUGGAGAGCAUUUUAUACCUUAGUCUUUCAGUCGAAGUCUUUGCUGCAAUUUGACUGUCUCCAAUGCCAUUGUCAAUCUGAUCCAAUCUUCUAGUUUAUUCACUAGCCGAAAGUAUUUAUGUCUCCAAGACCUGCUAAUAAUUAACGAACCGAAAACACCCCAAAAUCCAACAAGAAAUCCAACUGUCAUUCCAGUAAAAAACCUGUAAUAAAAACCCACAAAACAUUUGUUGCCAAGUUUUUACAUUUAUGAGGGAUGAAGGUACAUCAUUUGAAAAAACUUAUUGCUCCUCAAACUCACUGAUGGACCCUGCUCUAUCAAAUCCAUUGAGCUUGCUAUUAUUCCCAAUAAAUUAUCAUUUGAAAUACUAAUGAUUUAAUGUCGCUGUAGCUGUAGUCAGAAUUUCAAACCUCAUUAUAUAUGAUGAAGUUGGUCAGUAUGAAGCAAACACUCGACAGCAGGCAGGCCAUGAAGACCAAGCUAUGUAGGAGCUGCUGAUGCAAGCUUAUUUUGCUCAUUUUGUAAUUUCUAGUCAAUGAAAUGUAAUUUAGUUCAUUUAGAACUAUGUUAGGUAGAUGAUUGAUGUAAUUUUCUAUCAUAUGAGCUGUUAAUUCAACUUUGCUUGUAUGCACAAGUUAAUUACUUCAAGUUUCAAUGUUUAGUGGUGUUAGGUAACCAUUAGGUGAAUGUUUACUGUUUUUGACAAGCUUAGAGCUUGAUUUAUGUAUUGGCAUUUUGCCACUGUUAAUUCUAUGAAUGAAUCAAGUUUUGUUCAUCAAAUACUCUCCAUUUUUCUAGCUUUUUCUUUUUUUUCUUUUGCUCGAAUUUAUUUGUUUGCUCAGCAAGCAUCGAGGCUUGUUGCACAAGACACUUGCCGAGUCUGUUAUUUCUGUUAGUGCACCAAAAAUUGGUAUCUAGAGCCUAUUUCUUAAGGGACCUGGUAUUCAAUGAAUGGCUUCAUCAAACUUUUCACCAGCUACACCAUAAGUUUUCAAUGGGGAAGGCUAUCACAUAUGAGUGGUCAAAAUGAAGACCUACCUGCAGGCUUUCGAUCUGUGGGAGGUGGUCAACUUUGAUGUUGAACCAGAGCCACUUAGAGCUAAUCCAACAGUGGCUCAGAUAAGGCAGCAUGCUGAUGAGAGGACCAAGAGGCACAAGGCCAUGUCCUGCAUACAGAACUCAGUGUCAGAUGUGAUUUUCACAAGGAUUAUGGCUUGUGAAACACCAAAGCAGGCCUGGGAUAAGUUGAAAGAGGAGUUUCAAGGGACAGAGAGGACAAGGCAUCAACAGUUGUUAAAUUUAAUGAGAGAAUUCGAGAACUUGAAGAUGAAGGAAGAAGAAAGUGUCAAGCAAUAUUCUGACAGGAUUAUGGCUGUGGUAAACAGCAUAAGGCUCCUUGGUGAGCAGUUCAGUGAAGCUGGGAUAGUGGAGAAGGUGAUUUCAACAUUACCAGAGAGGUAUGAGGUAAAAAUCUCAUCUCUCGAAGACUUAAGGGACUUGACCAGUAUUCCCUUGACAGAGCUUAUCAAUGCUCUUUAUGCACAAGAGCAGAGAAGAGCUAGCAGACUGGAGGAGCACCAGGAAGGUGCCUUUUAGGCAAAAACCAAUACUGCCUAUAAAGGCAAGAAGACCUGGAAAAAUAGGCCUAAGCCUGAUGCUACAAGGGGCAAUGACCAACCUUGCAGGCAUUGCAAGAGGCCUAGUCAUCCAGAAGAAAAAUGUUGGUUCAAUCCAGAUGCUGUAUGCCAGUAUUGCAAAAAGAAGGGUCAUGCUGAAAGAGUCUGCAAAAGCAAGGCCAAAUCAAGGCAGAAUCAGUUUCAACAGAUGAAAGCUGAGGCUCGAGUAGCCAAGGAGGACAGUGACCAAGAGGAGUAAGUUUUUACUGUGUCAUGCUCAGCUGUACAGGAGAGGCUCUCAUCUGGUUGGCUUCUAGACAGUGGAUGCACCAAUCACAUGACACCUGAUGCUGCAAUCUUCAAAUCUUUAGACAGAAACUGCAGAACCAAAAUCAAAAUAGGUAAUGGCCACUUUAUUCAAGCUGAAGGCAAGGGUGAUGUGCUGAUAUGCACUCCCACAGGUGCCAAAGUGAUUUCAAAUGUGCUCCUGGUGCCUGAAAUUGACAGAAACCUGCUCAGUAUAGCUCAACUGCUGGAGAGAGGUUAUUCUGUGAUGUUCAAAGAUAACCAAUGCCAAAUCAGUGAUCCAAGUGGAUCCAAGCUGAUGGCAGUCCCUAUGACUGAUAAGAGCUUUGUAGUUGACUGGACAAUAGAGUCAGACACUGCCUACGCAGCUACAACAGUUGAAUCCAAGCUUUGGCAUUAAAGGCUUGGACAUGCCAAUUUCAGAUCAAUGGCUCAAAUGGUCAGAGAAGGAUUAGCUGAAAACUUCACCAACAUAGUGAAGCAUGAUGAUGUGUGUGAAGUAUGUCAGCUAGGCAAGCAGGCUAAACUUCCAUUUCCCUCAAAUCAAGCCUGGAGAGCCUCUGAAAGAUUGCAAUUGGUGCACACUGAUGUGUAUGGCCCCAUGAAGACUGAUUCAUUAAGUGGAAACAGGUAUUUCAUAUUGUUCAUUGAUGAUUUCUCGAGAUAUUGUUGGCUUUACUUCUUGAAACAGAAAUCAGAGGUGGCCUCUGUGUUUUGGAAGUUCAAAACUGCUGCUGAAAUUGAAACAGGUUGCAAGCUAAAGACCAUAAGGUCUGAUAAUGGGACUGAGUAUACCUCAGCUCAGUUCCAAGCCUUUUGUGAUAAGGCAGGCAUCAAAGAUCAACUUACCAACACUUAUACACCUCAGUCAAAUGGUGUGAGUGAAAGGAAGAAUAGGAGUUUGAUGGAUAUGGCUAGGUGCCUGGUGAUUCAGAAGAAACUGCCUAAAGCUCUAUGGGCAGAAGCAGUUAACACUACAACAUACAUUCAAAACAGGCUUCCAACCAAAGCUUUGGACCAGAAGACUCCAUUCGAGGCCUGGUUUGGAUUCAAACCAUCACUGGCUCAUCUGAAGGUCUUUGGAUGCAUCUGUUAUGCACAUGUACCUGCUGUUAAAAGGGACAAAUUGUCUGAAAGGGCUCGACCUGGUAUUCUGAUGGGCUACAGCACUGUCAAGAAGGGUUUUAGGAUCUUGGAUCCUUCAACAAACAAAUUGUCAGUCAGCAGGGAUGUGGUAUUUGAUGAAAGGUCAUGUUGGAACUGGGAAAGACAUGAACCUGAGGAAGUUUCAGAAGAACUUGCAGCAGAUCAAGCUGAGCCAGACCAAAAUGGUCCUGAAAUGGACAUUGAUGAUAAAACAGUCAGGGGAAUAAGACCAUUGACUGAGAUUUAUGAAAGGGCUCAUGUAGCCAUAGCUGAACCAAGCAACUUUGAAGAGGCUGAAGCUCAGCAAGGGUGGAAGCAGGUAAUGGCUGAGGAGAUCAGCAUGAUUGAGAAGAACCAGACCUAGAAAUUGGUUGAAAGGCCAGUCAAAAAGAAGGUAAUUGGGGUGAAAUGGGUGUACAAAGCCAAGCAAAAUGCUGAUGGAACCUUGAACAAACUAAAAGCAAGGCUAGUUGUCAAGGGGUUCAGUCAAAAAUAUGGCCUGGACUAUCUGGAGACCUUUGCACCAGUGGCCAGGCUUGACACCAUCAGACUGCUGAUUACCUUAGCAGCACAGCUCGAAUGGAAGAUCCAUCAACUAGAUGUGAAGUUAGCUUUUUUGAAUGGCUUCUUAGAUGAAGACAUUUAUGUUGAUCAACCACAAGGGUUUGAGAUAGUUGGCAAAGAGCACAUGGUCUAUAAACUGAAGAAGGCCCUAUAUGGCUUAAAACAGGCUCCAAGGGCCUGGUAUUCCAGAAUCGAUGGCUACUUGACUAAUUUGGGAUUUUUUCGAAGCAAGAGUGAACCAACACUGUAUGUCAAGAAGGAAGGGGCACAAACACAGCUCAUUGUGUCCCUAUAUGUUGAUGACCUGCUGGUGACAGGAGGAGAUCAAACAAUGCUGGUCAAUUUCAAGACCAAGAUGCAGGAGGUGUUUGAAAUGUCUGAUCUAGAGGAGAUGUCCUAUUUUCUUGGAAUGGAGGUGUCACAAACACAAAAUGGGAUAUUCCUAAGUCAGAAAAGCUUUGCCACAAAGAUUCUGACCAAGUUCUCCAUGCAGAACAACAAGGCAACUAAAACUCCUAUUGCUGUUAGAGAGAAACUAUCGAGCCAAGGUGAAUUUGAGAGAGUUUGUGAAACUACCUACAGAAGUCUAGUUGGUUGUUUGCUAUACUUAACUGCCACUAGGCCAGACAUAAUGUAUGCUGUAGGAUUGCUCUCAAGAUUCUUGCAUUGCUGCAAUGAGAAGCAUUUUCAGGCUGCAAAAAGAGUGCUCAGAUAUAUCAAAGGCACUUUAAGCUAUGGUUUGAAGUAUAGCAAGGAAGAAAAUCUGAAGCUGGUUGGCUAUACUGAUAGUGACUAGGCUGGCUCGAUAGAUGAUAUGAAAAGCACCUCAGGGUAUACUUUUAACCUUGGUUCAGCCAUGUUCUGCUGAAGCUCGAAGAAGCAAAGCCUGGUGGCUCAAUCUACUGCUGAAGCAGAGUAUGUGGCAGCAGCAAGUGCUGUCAACCAAGCCAUUUGGCUAAGGAAAAUCUUUGCCGAUUUGAAUGUACAUCAAAGAGAAGCAACAGAGAUCUUUUGUGACAACCAAUCUACUGUUGCAAUUGCUAAAAAUCUAGUGUUCCAUGGAAGAACAAAGCAUUUCAGCAUUAAAUUGCAUGUUGUUCGAGAAAUGGAGCAAGCACAAGAGAUGAAGCUAAUUCAUUGUAAUUUAGAGGAUCAACUUGCUGACUGUAACACCCCUUAACCCCGAACCGUCGUCGGAAUAGGGUUACGAGGCAUUACCGAAAGUAUCAAACAGUUUACAACAAAUCUGCCCAAUCGCGCAGCAGUUACUAAAUUACUUAUAAUUUUAGCUACGGAACUCAAAAUUUAAUUCCAUAAAUUUUCCCUGAAACUAGACUCGUAUAUCUUCCUACCAUAAAAAUUUCAUAAUUUUUGGUCCAGCCAAUUAGUACAGUUUAUUAGUUAAAGUAAGCCCUGUUUCACCAAUUGACUGCCCUGACCUCUUGUCACUAAAAAUAAAAUUUCUCAUUGUAGGAUUGUCAUAUGAAGUUAUUACUUGUUUCUAGAGAAAAUAGACUCAAUAAGGAUUCUAUACAUAUAAACUACAACUCAUAAUUAUUUUUUUACCAUUUUUAGUGAUUUUCUAAACUUAGAAUAGGGGACUCCAAAAACAGUUCUGACCCUGUCUCACUAAAAUUCACAUAUCUUAAAAUAUAAAAUUCUUUUUGCUAAACCGUUAUUUUUAUAUGAAAAUAGACUUAACAAGCUUUAAUUUAAUAUAUCAUUCACCCUCUAAUUCAUUUUAUACUAUCCUAGGUGAUUUUUCAAAGUUACGUCACUGUUGCUGCCUGAAUUCUGUUUCUUUGCAAAGUUUACCCUUUCUUGAUUUUCAUACUUAACCAUUUUAAAAGCCAAACAUUAUCACAUGCUCACACAUCUUUCUUUAGCAAUCUCAUAGAUACAACAUUCAAAAUGACUAAUCCCUAUACAUCACUUAGGUUUAUACAUUACCUAGGUACAUGUCACAUUAUCAACAGAAAGGUACAUCACUAAAAUGUCUCUGAGGUCGGGAUUACUUUGGAUGCUGGAUCGAACACUAGUUUUUUUACUAACCUGCGCACGGAAACAACCGUACGCUGAGUAUGGGUAUACUCAGUGGUAUUACCAUAAUUCAAAUUAAUAACAUUAAUCGAUAAAUUAUAAAUAUUUUAUUUAUGUCUACAAUUAUUCAUUAAUUAUCUCAUACAUUAAAUCAACUUGAUAAUUAAUAACAAUAAGCAAUAAUUCAAAUCUUAUAUUUAAUUGUAUUCAUACCUUAUUUCACUAUCUCAAUUCCGUGGGAUUUUUUCUUAUAGUUCAUUUCAAUUCAUAUACAAUUCAUUUCAUUUAAUUUAUAUUCAAUAUCAAUUUUAUUGCAAUUUUUACUCACUAAUAUCAUAUAACAAAAUUUACUCUUUAUCAUAUUAUGAACUUUGGGUUCAUAUAUUUAAAUCUCAUAUCUCGAUUUCCAAUUCACAUAUCAAUUCACAAUUUCACUUUCUCAUUUCUUUCCAUAUCCCAAUCAGUCACACUUAUUCAAAUUUUCUCAUUUCAAUUAUUUACCCCUAUUAACAAGACUCGGACCUUGGCGGAUACACGGAUCCAACCAAACACACCAGAAUGGCACCCAGUGCCUCAUCGGAUAGUUCGAAGCAAUAGUUGACACCCAGUGUCUCAUCGGCAAAGCCGAAGUAAGUUGGUACCCAGUACCUCAUCGAAUCUAUCCGAAGUAACAGUAUGACACCCAGUGUCUCAUCGACUCAAGGUCGAAGUAUCCCUGAACACUUCCAAUCCUAUGGCAUGCCAACUAUAUCCGACUCAGCCCGACUAGUUAAUAGGGUUUCCGAAUCACAUUUCAAUUCAAUCACUUUCUCAUACUUUCAAUUCAAAUCAUUCCAAUUUAAUCACCAUUUGAUUCAAUACAUUUUUCUAUUUCAAAUUCACUUCCCACUUUCAAAUCAAUGUACAGUUCAGUACCAAUACAUAUUUCACAAAUCAUACUUCGAUUCGAAUCAAACCACUUUUCAGUCAAUACUCAAUUCACGUAUUCACACUUAUUCAUAAUUUAAUUCACUUUUAUUCAAUUCAUAUUUUUAAUUCAUUCAAUUAAAUAUCGAUAUUCUCCUUAUUUUUAUUUACUAAACAUAUUAUUCAAAAUUCAACAAUUACUAUCAAUAAAUUCAAUAUCAAUACGUAUAUAUAUAUAUUUCAUUCGAUUCAAUCAUGAUACUCACCUCAAUUUUCUUAUCAUGUAUAUUAAUUUAAAUUUUAACGAUUAAUAAUUAAAUUCGAAUUAUGGUAAUACUAACCGGAAUUUCUCUCGAGUCACUUCUUGUCCACUUUCCCCUUUCCUUUCUCGGACAAUAACUCGUGCACGACAUUAGCUACGUAAUUAAACAAUUAAAAAUCAUUAAUACACAAUUUCAUUAAAACAUUUCCCGUAUACCUAAACUUUACCCAAAUUCUAAUUUAAUCCCUUAUCAAUACUAAUUUUAUUUUUCCAUUCUAACUCUAUAUUCUCUCUUAAUUCUUACUAUAAACUCAGUUUAAUUCUUCAAUUUCCCCAUAAAUCCCUAAUUUCGGGAUUCUUUCAAUUUAAUCCCUAUCAGUUCAAAACUUAUAUUUUAUUUUACAAAUCAAUCUUUUACUAACUUCUAACUUAAAAUUCAAUCAUUUUAACCUCUAGUUCAUCAAUUAAUUCAACAUAACUCAUGUCUAACAAUCUACUAACUUUCAAAAUAUCAACAUAAAUCAAGUAGUAUUUAUCUCUAGGAUUCCAAAAACUCAAAAAUUAUAAGAAAAAGACUUAAUUUGACUUACCAAUUGAGCUUGGAACCUUAAAACCUUAAAUUUCCCUUUUUCUUUUUCUUUCUUUCUUUCUUUCUUUCCUUCCUUCUCUGCCCGUUUUGCUCUCUGUUUCUUUCUCUGUUUCGUCUCUUCUAUUCUGUUUCUUUUCUUUCUUUUUCUAUUCUUUCUUUUGUUUUAUGUAUAUAUAUAAUAUAAUAUAAUAUAUUAAUAAUAAUAUAAUAUAAAAACAUAAUCAUUACUAUAAUAUAAGAAUAUUUUUUUAACACAUAAAAAUCUCAGAUUUUUAUACUUAUGCCGCCUCAACUUUGGAAAAAGGCAUAAUUGCCUAUUUGGUCCUUUUAACUUUUCUUUAAUCUAUAAUUAAACUUUUAUCCCUAUUGCAAUUUAAUCCUUUUUCAUAAUUAACUAUCGAAACGUUAAAAUUUCUUAACGAAACUUUAAUAUUAUCCUAUUGACACUCUGUAAAUAUUUAUAAAAAUAUUUACGGCUCAGUUUAUGAUAUCGAGGUCUCGAUACCUCGUUUUUGACCCAAUUUACCUAAUAAUUUCUUUUAAAUCACAAAAUUCACUGAUUCAAAAAUAUUUCUAACUUUUUCAUCGAAUUUAGUGAUCUCAAAUCAUUGUUCUGACACUACUGAAAAUUGGGCUGUUACACUGACAUUCUAACUAAAGGUCUUAAUGUCAUAAGGUUCGAGCAUUUGAGAGGAAAAUUAGGUGUUUGCACCAUACUAACCAAGGAGGAUAUGAAGUUGGUCAGUAUGAAGCAAACACUCGACAGCAGGCAGGCCAUGAAGACCAAGCCAUGCAGGAGCUACUGAUGCAAGCUUAUUUUGCUCAUUUUGUAAUUUCUAGUCAAUGAAAUGUAAUUUAGUUCAUUUAGAACUAUGUUAGGUAGAUGAUUGAUGUAAUUUGCUAUCAUAUGAGCUGUUACUUCAGCUUUGCUUGUAUGCACAAGUUAAUUACUUCAAGUUUCAAUGUUUAGUGGUGUUAGGUAACCAUUAGGUGAAUGUUUACUAUUUUUGACAAGCUUAGAGCUUGAUUUAUGUAUUGGCAUUUUGCCACUGUUAAUUCUAUGAAUGAAUCAAGUUUUUUUCAUCAAAUACUCUCCAUUUUUCUAGCUUUUUCUUUUUUUUUAUUUUGCUCGAAUUCAUUUGUUUACUCAGCAAGCAUCGAGCCUUGUUGCACAAGACACUUGCCGAGUCUGUUAUUUCUGUUAGUGCACCAACAAUAUACAACAAUUAACCAUGUGAAGAUUAUAAGCAUAAUAUGUAUCCAGUCGACCCCUACCACAUGUAGAUGUACGUAAUUCAAAAUUAUGGUAUAUUGGGAUUACAAGCAUACUGGUCGCAAUUUGGUAAACAUUACAUCCAAGAUGUGAAAAAUAGAAUGUCAAUAAUGACAAUGAAUCAUAAAAAGAGGAAGAAAAUAAAUACAUACAAAUUUUACAUAGAAAUAUUUUCGGAAAAAAAUCAAAAUUCAUUAUGUUGAAUUCAAAUAAUACAAGAGGAGAGAUGAAUUGUAACACCCCUAACCCGUAUGCGUCAUCGAAUUAGGGUUAAGAGGCAAUACUAAUCAAAACAGAACUUAGAACAGACAUUCAAUAUAGUUCAAUAAUUUUAACGGUUACAUAUAAAUUGCUAGGUCUAAUAUUAAACAUGCAAAAUUUUAAACUUCUCUUUAAAAUUACAAUCCAGUUAAAGCAUAAGAAUAUAAGCCAUUUUCGUAUGGCUAUUAAUUUCAUAUACAAUAUAUCAAAGUACGACUUUCCAAAACAUUUAUCUAGCCUGUACAUGCCAUAAUUAAAAUUUAUACAUUUACUGUACUCAGACCAUUUUAUUUAUAGUCAAAUAUAUGUACCUUUCGAAAUGCAUUCAAUUGAAUAUAUAUAUUUAUACCAAACAACAUUACAACCAAAUGAAUAUAACCGAGCAUAUAUGUAUGUUAUACACAUAUCAUAUCCAACUGUGUAUGUAUACUCAUAAUAAACUUAUAACCAAAUACAAAUCUAAUACAUGUGACCGAAUGCAUCCUUCUUCAUCAAAUAAUUAUAAAUAGAGGUGUAUACAUUUCAAAUGCAUAUGUAGAUACUUAUCAAAUACAUAUACCGAAUAUUUAUACGUAUACAUUUAUCGACUGCAUAAAUCAAAAGCAUGUAUGUAUAUUUUACAAAUGCAUAGACCGAAUAUGUACAUAUUCAUUAAAGAUAACCAAAAUCAUAUAACUGUACACUUAAUCACAUACUUUAAACAGAUUCACUGGCACUUAGCCUGCUAGGCUUAAAGCCUGAUUCAGUACACCGGCACUUAGCCUGCUAGACAUAUAGUCUGAAAUGUUUCACCGGCAUUAAGCCUGCUAGACGUAAAGUUUGAUAUUGUUUCACCAGCAUUAAGCCUGCUAGACGUAAAGUCUGAAAUUAUUUCACCGGCAUUAAGCCUGCUAGACAUAUAGUCUGAAAUGUCUCACCGACAUUAAGCCUGCUAGACGUAAAGUCUGAUAUUGUUUCACUGGCAAUAAGCCUGCUAGGCGCUAAGCCUGAAAUCUCAAUUUCACAUACACAAAAUAAUUCCUCGAAAAAUUCUUAAUAGCAAACACAUGUUCGUUGUACUCCAUGUUCAAUCAUAAAAGAGUUUACAAAUCAUACUUUCAAUUCAAUUCAAGUAUUUAUAAAUUUAUAAACAUAUAUCUAUAAUCGAACCUCACAUAUGAAAAUAUAAGAUUUUAUAUCUUUAAUUCAAUCCAAGAACCUAUAUACGAAUAUACAUAUAGAUAUAUUCGAACUCUCAUGUACGUAUUUAACAUUUAUACCUUUAGCUAAAAUCAUAAACUAAUACAUGUAUAUACAUUUAUAUUCGAAUAUAUAUGUAUAUAUAUACACUGUAGAAGCCCAAAUUUGCUAGGCCCAUUGUCCAAAUAAAAUAAAAUACAACAAACCCAAAAUUCAAUCCCAACUGCCCAAACCUUAAGCCCAAACCUAAUAGCCAAUAACAAACUUUCAGCAGCAGAAAACCCUAGGGUUCCCUAACCCUAGGGCGCCACCCUAGCGCCGCAUGCCUCUGCCAAGGCUCCCUCACGCACUCCACCGCCACCGUCGCCAAUCGCCAGCCUUCCAUGCGCGUCUGACACCACCUGCAACACACAAAAGAAGAAGACAACAAACACAAUCCAAAUAGCAAACAAACAAAAAAUAGAAAUUAAGAAGUCGUGUGGAUCGGCUAUAAAAGCCUAGAAUAUCGCCCUUGUAUUUUUCUUCGAUUUUUCUUUAUAAAAGACGCAUACCAAAGAAUCAAAGGAGAAGAAAAGGUUGCCCAUUCGUGUUCUUCGUUUUUUUUCUCUGUCGAUUUAGUUUUUUUUUCUUUUUACGAAAUUGUUUUUAUCUUUUUUUAAAAAAAAACUAUUGAUAUAAAAAAAUAAAAAGGGAGAAGAGGGGUUACCUGAGCCGACCGGUAGCCCCGCCAUCGGUCUCUUCGCCGCUCUAGGAUCCGAACGCGGGGGAGGGCUAAGGACCCUUUUUCUUUUUUUCUCCGAUUUCUGGCUUUAGGGACUCGGCCUUUAAACGCGCUUCAAAGCGCUGGUCGAAGAGGCGUCUUCGCGCGACGCCGGCUGCCGAACACGGUGGCGCUACGGCGGCAAAUGUGGCCGGUUUCUGGGAUUGAUGAGAGUGGGGGAGGGAGAUUUCUGUUUUUUUUUAAAUGAAAUAGGAGAAAUGAAGUUUGUAAAAAAAAUUGGUUUAAAUAGCAACAAGGAAACGGCGUCAUUUCAAGAGUGGCGACCUGCAUGCGCGACCCAACCUACCAAGGGGAUCCGCGCGUUUCAUGAAAUGGGCUAUUUUCGCCCUUGGUCCUUCCUCGUUGUUGACUGUUUUAAUUUAGUCCUUUUGCUUGUUUGUUUGUUUUCUUUAAUUUGGCCCCACGCACUUUCUUCAUGUUUCAAUUUAGUCAGCGCGCGAUUGCUGUGCCUCAGGACUUGGGCAUAUUGCCCGAUAAGUCCUUCGCACUUUGCGCGUGCUUCAUUCCAUCCCCCGAACCUCUUAUUUGUGAAUUUGGCCCCAAAUUUUGGCCAGAUUUCAAUCUGAUCCUCGACCUUUUAAACCUCAAGUUUUUUAUUUUUUUAUUUUUUUUUCUUUUUUUAUUUCAUAUAUAUAUAUAUUUAAAAGUCAGUUUUAUUUAAUACUUGAUUUAAUAUUAUUUAUUUGUUUAUUUGUUCAUAUUUUAUUUAUUAUUUUAUUUGAAUAUAUUGGUUUGUGUAUUUUACUCUUGUUAUUAAUAUUACCCUAUCAUUUCAUUAUUUAUUUAUUUUGUUAUUUUUAAAUACUUUCAAAGUUCUACUAUUAUUAUUGUUGUGAUUAUUAUCGUUAAUAUUAUUAUUUACUGAUUCUUAUUUUUUUUAAAAAAUUAAACUUCAGAUUUUAUUAUAUACAUAUACAUACAUUUUUAACAUGCAUACACACAUAAUUUUUUCAAAUUUAUAUACAUGUAUGAAUAUACCUACUUCAAUAUAUAUCAUCUAUACUUUAUACUUUACAUAUGUGUACAUUUUUUUAUUUUUUUAUAAAUUCGUACACGUUUAUAUUUUUACAUUCUCAUAUAUAAUUUAUAUAUAACUCUUAAAUUUUUACAUAUAUGCAUACAUUUUGUAAAAUAUAUCUAUAUGUAAAUAUUUUAUAUAAACAUGUACUUAUUUUCACAUUUUUUAUAAUUUGUAUACAUCUCCAUACAUACCUAUAUCUUAUAAUUUAUAUAUUUAUUAUAUUUUGUAAUUUUAAAAUAUGUAUAAUAAAAACAUACAUGUUUUUAUUUUAUUUUAUUUUUCUUUUACUCGAUGUUUAUUUAUUAAUUUGCCUAUAUGUUCAUUAUUAUUUUAAAAGGACAUUUUAAUCCUAUUUGCUUAUUCAUUUGUUAUUAUGCGAUUGAUCCAACUCUUAUUUAUUUAUUUCAUUGUUAAUGUUUGUUCGUAUUAUUUAUCCUUAACUUGUUGCAUUCAUUAUUGUUUCGUCACACAUGUUAACACCAUACGUCAAAAGAAAAUUUUUUAAAUAAGGCAAUAUUUCGCGUUUGGAAAAUCGAGAAAACGUGCCCUAACGUGCUGGGUUUCGAUUUUUCGUUUGACCAAAUGGCCAAAUAUCCUUUUAAACUUUCAAAAUAAUGAAGGCAAUAUUCCGUAUUUGGAAAUUCGGGAAAGUCGUGCCCUAACUUACUAGGUUUCGAUUUUUCUCGCAUUGAAUCUAAAUAAUCGAAUAUCCUUUUAAAAUUGAAACAAAUGAGGUUUAAAGAAAAUAAAAGGCAAGCUUAUUCUCAAAAUACGAGGUGUCGUGUCCUAACUUACUGGAUGUGACAUCUUGCUAAUUCAAGAUAAGAAGGCCUUUUUCAUUUUAAUUUAUUCGAGUAAUUUUAAAAUAAUACAAUAUAAAGAGGGAUCGUAUUUUUAAAUUCUUUUCGAGUUUCUGAAUUUUCGACACCAAGACAUUAAGUAAUCAACUAGGUACCAAUUUUGGGCGUAUCGAGGGUGCUAAUCCUUCCUCGUACGUAACCGACUCCCGAACCCGUUUUUCUGAAUUUUGUGGACCAAAAUCGUUGUUUUAAUAAAAUCAAAUCGUUUAUUGAAAACAACCACUUUUUAAGGUGAUCCGAUCACACCUCAUCAAAAAAUAUUGGUGGCGACUCCCAUUUUCGUUUUCAUUUUCAAAAUCCAAGUCGACCCCGUUUUGUCAAAAAAAUGGUGUCAACAUACGUUAGACAUUCUUGUCUUUAUCUAAGUUCAUAAUUUAUUCAUGUAUAUAUACACAUAUAUAAUUUCUUAACUAAAUUUAAUACAAGAAAUUUACAUGUAUAUAUACACGCUUAAUCGAAAAUAACAUAUAUAUUUAAUUUCAUACCUAAGUUCAAUAUAAAAACAUAUAUAUGUACAUUCAUACAUAUUCAAAACUCCACAUGCAUACUUAACAUUCAUACCUUAAAAUAUAUUCAAGAUUUAUUCAAGUAUUUUCAUAUACAAUCGAACCCACAUAGACAUACUUAUUCAAAAUUACCUACACAAUUACAAUAUACUUACCUUUAAUUAAACCAAGAAUAUAUACAUGUAUAUACAUAUAUGUAUUCGAACCUUGUGUAUACAUAUAUAACCCUCACACAAUCAACUAAAUUCAAGAACAUAUACAUACAGAUACAUAUAUAAAUAUUCGAACAUUAUAUAUAUAUCUAUAUACCAUUCCUACUUUAACUUAAUUCAAAGAUUUAUAGAAGUAUAUACCUAUAUAUUCGAACAUUGUAUAUACAUAUAUACCAUUUAUACUUCAAUUUUUUUUUGAAUCAAAUUACUUUUAUUUAUAGCUCAGCAAAAAUACAUACAUACAUACAUACAUACAUACAUACUGAUUUGAUAACAUUAAAUAGCUAAUAGACUUACCUCGGACAGUGUAAAAUCGAAACCGGACGAUUAGUCGACGACUUUAACUUUUUCCGGAUCUAACUCCGAUUUCUUUGGUUCUUGAUCUUUAAUUAAGCAAGGAUAUGGCCAAACUUUAGAAAGCCAUAGUUGAGCUUCUUUUUGCUUAACAUUCGGCUUGGAGAAGAUGAUAAAAUCAUCUUUUCUUAAGUUAUUUUAACUAAUAUAUAUUUUAAUUACUUAAUGACUAAUUUAACCUUAGUUUAAUUAAUUAUAAAACAUAUAACUUAAGGGCAAUUUAGACCAUUGCAGCCCACUAACUAUUAAAUGGCCUAAUUUUCAUUUAUAACCCUUAUUUUUAAAAGACAACAACAAUUGGGUGCUUUUAAAUUUAACCCUUAAAUUUUUAUUUUACGCGAUUAAGCCCUUUUUAUCAAAUUGUGCACUCAAACGAUCAAAUUUUUAUACAAAAUUUUUACACAUAGUCAUUCACAUACUGCAAAUAUCAAAAAUAAUUUUAAAAUAUUUUUUGACUUGGAUUUGUGGUCCCGAAACCACUUUGUCCAAUUAGGGUCAAGAUCGGGUUGUUACAUGAAUACAUCUAUUUAUAGGUUUAAAAGCUUUAUUCUAAUUAAAGUCUAAUAGAAGUAAUGUAGUAAAGUUAAAACAUCUAAUUCUAAUCAAAUAUCAAAUAGAGGAACUACACUUCUAUACGGAUUCCACUUGUGCAACUUGUACUCUGCCCCCGCACCCCCGGUUGCGACCCUAGUCCAAUAUUUUUACUUACUGGGGAUCUACAAUGAGCUAUGUCUUUGCCCUCAUAAAUCUCCCUAUCUUGCCACUUAUAUUUUAUUUUAACAAGAAUUUGGGUCAUAUAACUCUAACAUAAGAGUACAAGUUGAGAUAUUUUUCAAAUACUGACCGUAAAAGGCCCAUCAGAUCGGUUCAGUCUAUUGAAUAUAUUCAACGUAUAAUUAUCUCAAACAGAAAAUGGUAGGAAACUAGGUAAGAAUCUAACGGAUACUAUGUUUAAAUUAAGAAAAAUCGCCUCAGUGCCAUCGCUAUGCCUAAAGUAAGUCAAGCAACGAGACAACUCUUUUAAGUCUUUUGAGGACAACGGGUUCAAAUGGGAGUUGUGGAUGUGAUUUACAUUGGUUGGAAAAUUGGAGCUUUGAAUCAAUGGUUAUAUAUCUACAUGAGGCCCAGCACAAAAGACCCAUCAACGUUUAAUUGUUUCAAUUUUGCUGUCAAAUUUGGCUGCUUCACCCACAGUUCUAUCAAUAUUAUGGCUUUCCUUCUUGUUUCCACCAACGCAAUGAUCGAACCUGUUGCGUCUUAAAAGAGUAGUUGUAUUGAGAGAAAGAAAUCUGAGCAAGAGGAUAAAAGGAUAAAAAGAGAGGAUAAGAAUCUACUUUUCCUCCUUAGUACAAUGACUCAUCAAGCUUUUAAAAAGUAAAGGUACAAUAAUUUACAUGACUCAGAAAAUAAGACAAAUGAUUCAGCAUCCUUUAAUCAGUAUCAUAAUUCGUGCUGAUGUUAGAGGUAAGGUUUAACUCUUCUACUUUUCUUUUCUUUUCCUCUCGUGCCCUAUAACAUUUCAGCUCCAGCUGUUCAAUUCUUUGCUCCAAAUCAAGUAUAUUUCUACCAUAUUUGAUUAAGUUUAUUUAUCAAGUAAUUCAGUUCUCACAUUCGAUUUCAAAUUCAAUUAUCUAUGUUUGUGAUUUGAUUGGAAUUCUUAAAAAUAAUAAUAAUAGUUAAGGAAAUUCAAGUGUUGCUCAAGUCCAACAUUAAGAUUUUUCUUUAUUCCAGUUCGCUAAACAGAUAGAACUACUCCAACUUAAACUUAAUUUAUGAUUGAAUUGAAUUUGAGUUCACUCAAACUUGAUUAAUAAAAAUGAUUGAGUUGAGUUUGAAUUUGGGUUUAAGUUUGAGUUUGAGUUCGAGUUCGGUUUCUUAUUUUAUUCAAUUUUUUUUCACGGUUGAUUGGGAAUGAGAUAUGUGGAAUGUCAUAUUUGACUAUGAUUGCUCAAUGAUUACCCCUUUGCCACAUGCUUUCAAACCUAAUGAGAUAUUUAUGUACUCUUAAUUUAUUUUCAAUUUACUUGUGUAAAAUGAUUUCCCAUGCAACAUUUUAUUAAUUGAAAUAUUCUACUUGACAAAUUUAUUCAGAGUGUGACAUAAUUGUCACUAAUUUGCAUAUUAAGAACAUGACAUAUUUAUCACAAAGAAUAUAGUUUACAAUUAUAUUGAUACACUAUUAAUAUUUAUCAAUUUCCACAAAGUUAAUAUUUGCAAAUAAGGAACUUAAGAAAUUUGUUCAUUUAAAUUUUAAAAAUAUUCACUAAUUAAUUUUCAUAAUUGAUGUUUUAAUUAUUUGGUAAUAGUGUUUUAUUUCAAUAAUUUCACCAAAUAAAAACUAAAGUAUUAUAAACAAAUAAAUAUUUAACAAUAAAAUGUGCCAUGAUCUUAUUUGUCAUUUUACACAUAUCAGCUAUCAGCUAUAUUUUACCAAACACUUUUAAAUAAAUCGCUAAUAGAAUUAGUUGGUCAAACCAGCCACAACAAUCAGCAAUCAAUUAUCAGUCAAUUACCAGUCAGGACUAUUAUAUAUUGAUAUGGAAACGGAAAGUAUUACUUUAAAUUAAAUCUUUUUUAUAAUUUUUUUUAGUAUACCAACAUAAUAACACAAAAAAAAAGUCCAUAUAUAUAUAUAUAUAUAUAUUCCUAGGAAAUUAAAUAUAUAUUCAAGAUUACAAAACUAUGGUAAAAAACGCAAUAUAUUAAAACUAACAUAUGACUAGGAAGCAGACCCCAACGAGCAGGGAGAGAAAAAUGGAGAGCUUUUUAUACCUUAGUCCUUCAAUCGAAGUCUGCGUUGCAAUUUGACCGUCUCCAAUGCCAUUGUCAAUCUGAUCCAAUCUCCCAGUUUAUUCACCAACUGAAAGUAUUUAUGUCUCCAAGACCUGCUAAUCAAUAAGGAACCGAAAACUCCCCAAAAUCCAACAAGAAAUCCAGCUAUCGUUCCAGUAACGAACCACAAAGGCUCAAAUAAUUCUUCAUCACUUUCAGCGAUAAUUUCAGUACCACCAUUGUUAGGUAGUUUUGGUGACUCAUCUCCAAGACAUUUGUUCAACGGGUCUCCGCACAAUCUCGAAUUCCCUGCAAAACAAGUAGCAUUGAAACUUUGCAAUUGAGUGCUUAAGGGAAUUUUUCCAGACAGAUUGUUGUUUGAUAAGUCCAAAACACUGAGAAAGGAUAUAUCAGACAUGCUCUCCGGAAUUACACCAGACAGAUUGUUUGUUGACAAAUCGAGUGAUUCCAAUGCCUUCAAUUGACCAAUCUCUUUAAUUAUGCUUCCUUUCAACAUAUUUCUUGAUAGAUUCAAAGUAAUUAACCCAUGUAGACUUGCUAUUUCUCGAGGGAUUUCCCCACUUAAUUUGUUGCACGACAAGUCAAUGGCUCUCAAUAAUCCAAGGGUUUUCCCAUAUUCUUGUUCCACACCUUUCCAUAUAACUAAUAGAUGAACAUUCAAGGUACGAGCAAAGAAAGCAGUAGUAUUGUUCUCUAUGUCAUAGACAUCAUUAUAAUAAUACGAGAACUGGAUCGUUGCUGCUGAGCUCCCAAGGUGAGCCAUGGUAGUCAAAUUGUUGAGGCACGAUGGAAUGGUUCCUGAUAUAUUGUUGAGAGAAAGAUCCAAUACUUGAAGAAACUGUUGGUGACAUAGACUUGAAGGUAUGUCACCGUGAAACUUAUUUGAUCGUAAACGUAGAACAAUCAAGUUCUCAAGUCUUUCUCCUAUCCAUGGUGGAAUGAUUCCAGUUAAUUUAUUUUCCCCCAGAUCCAAAAGUUUCAAUUCAGUACAACUUUUCAAGGAUUGAGGGAUUUCACCAUGCAAACUCGUGUUCCUUAAACGCAAUGAUUGCAGAGAGCCCAAUGAAGUAGGGAUUACCCCUGACAAAUUAUUGUUCUCCAAAUUGAUUAUGGUUAAACUCAAACUUUUGAUCCAACAAUCUGGAAUGCCUCCCGACAACAAAUUGUUAGAGAGGUCAAGAUUAGACAAACCACUAUCCUUAUUUGUGCAUAAAAAUGACAACGAUCCAUUGAACAUGUUGUUGGAUAGAUCUAACGUUGUCGACUUAGACAAAAAUUGAGGUAUGGGACCAUGAAAAAGAUUUGAACUCAAAUCUAUCAAAGAGAUACGAUCAAAUUUUAAAGGCAGGUUUGGAACUCUCCCGCUGAUUUGGUUGAAGGAAAGGUCCAAAAACAUUAGCCUCGAAGGCAGAUUCCAAAACCAGUAUGGGAUGUUGUCUGAAAUGUUGGAAUGAGAGAUAUCUAGAUGGUAGAAAUUUGUUUGAUUUCUAAGCCAACUAGGAAAUUGGGGUCCAAGCUUGCAGGAACUCAUUUCAAUAAAAUCAAGUUGAAACGGAGGUGUCCAAUUAGAGCUAAGAUUGAAAGACAAAGCAUUAAAGGAUAUCGAAAGAUACCGUAAUUUGGUAAGAUUAAAUAGGUGGGCUUCGGAAAUGACAUCAUGCAAAGAGUUGUUGGAAACAUCCAAGAGCACCAGUUGAGACAAUUUGCCGAUGUUGACAGGAAGGAGACCCUCGAAUCGGUUUCCUCUAAGAGAUAAUUCUCUCAAAGAUGACAAUCUUAAAAGAUCAGGCAAUGGCCCAGUGAAUCCAUUUUCAUCUAAAUUCAAAACAUUGAGCUUUGAAAAGUCUCCAAAGUUGUCUUCGAAAUGCCCGCUCAAUUGGUUAGAUCCAACAUCUAAUUCUCUCAAAGAUGAAAAUGGUACGAAGCUGGGCAAGGAUCCAUUGAAAUGGUUAAAAUCCAACUUCAAAACCUCCAGAGAAUCAUUGGCACAUCCACUCAAGUUCUUCACAGCAAAGGUGAGAGGUCCACUGAGCUUGUUUUCCCUUAAGUUUAAUUCUUUUAAAUGGCAGAGAUUCCCCAAUGACUUUGGUAUUCCACCUUCGAGACUAUUAAGAUCGAAAUUAAUUCGCUCCAGAGCUGGCAUGUUGUCAAAAGAAUCCGGAAUCAAACUCGAUAAUUGAUUAUGAUGGAGAUCGAGUUCAACCAAGUUUCGACUUAUAUUCAGCAACAGAGGAAAAGUCGAAGGAUGCAAACUAGAAGACCAAAUCAGGUGAAGAACAGAUAAAGAGUUUGAGGAAUUAAAAUGGACAAGAGAUGAAGGAUCAACCUCCGCAAAGUCACAAUAUCCAAAGUGUAUAACUGAGAGGGAAGGAUGAGAUUGAAUAACCUGUAGCCAGUUUGUAGCUUUUGUAAAAUUGGUGUAACUGAUUUUCAGCAAUUGCAAAGAAGAAAGAUGGGAAAGCCAUUCAAGGUUGUCGGAUAUCAAAGAUUGAUUAAUAUCAUAGGAACUGAGAUCAAGAUAAACUAGCCUGGAAAGGUUCCCAAGCUGGAGAGGAAUGAAGCCCGUAAGAGGAUUUGAUGAGAGAUUGAGGUAUGUGAGGUCAGAAAGUGAACCAAUGAAGUCUGGGAUCUGGUAGAAGCGAUUUAAAGAGAGGUCCAAGUGACUCAAGUGCUUUAACUCAAGCAAGGAAGUGCCAAUCACACCUGAAAUUUCCGUCCAUCUGCUACCGUAAGUGAUUCUGGGACGGAGGUCCAGCAUGACAACAUGGCCGGUCGUGUUGUCGCAGCCGACACCUUUCCAUUUGCAACACUCUUCUUCUUUGCUUGUCCAUGAAACUAGGAGGUUUAGGCUAUUGUCGUAAUCAAUAAGACCUUUCUUGAAAUCAAGGAGAGCUCGUCUCUCUGCUGCAAUGCACCUCACACUCUGAUUUUUUACACUGAUGCCAAAACUAGCAGUAAUCAGUGCAAACAGAAGCGCAAGCCAUAGGUGAAAAUGAAAAUGAAGUCCUCUUCCUCUCAUGAAGAUGGAAAAUAAUGGCUCUGAAAAGAUGGUUCCAAAGAAAAUGUAUAGCUAAUAAGUACUCCGUUUAUCCGCAUAGCUUCUUAAAUAAAAAUAAAUUUGCCCCACUCAUCACGGCCGUUGCUAUCCCAAACCAAGUCAAGAAAAUAGCCAUGUCGGUAAGUUUGAGGAGAAGGGGCCGCCCCCCUAGGCCUAGAAUCCACACGUUUGAAACAGGAAUUGCAGAUAUAAAUUCCUGGAAUGUGUCCACUGUCCUCCAAAAAAUUACCCAACGACUAUUAAUAAUCAACAUUCUGACUUUCCUUCUUGUUUCCUGGAAAUUACUAAGGAAUAAGGAGAGCGAACGAGCUAUUGUUCCUCAAACGCAAUGAUCCAACCUGCUUUAUCUUUAAAAAAUGUUUAUACUUGAAUAAUCUACUUUGAAAUUAUGGUAUAUAGGCUAAAUUUAAUGAAUAUGCCGAACAUGGAGAAAAAUUAUGGAAAUGAGCCACUUUCUGCCUCAGGAUAUUUAGAGAAAAAGUUGAUUUUGGAGACAGAAAUUAAAAAUGCAUUAACUUUUUCGGGAUAGUUUGAUUUUUGAGUCCUGGGUUUGAUUUCUCUUCUACUUAUGUUUGUAUUUUUUAUUUCAUAUUAGUUUAAGCUUUUUUUUACUUUUAAUUAUUAUUUUUAACACGUGAGUUGCUUUGGUUAGAUGGUUAAAUAAUGGUGAUUUUAUUUUUAAGUCCUAGGUUUGAUUCCUCUUCUAGGCAUAUUUGUAUUUUUUUUGUUUUAUGUUGUUUCAAGUUUUUUUUAAUUAAUAAAUAUUUUUUAUUUUUAAUUAAUAACUCUUGUAUUUAUAAAAUCAAAUAAUAAAUAUGUAGUUAUAUAAUAAAUAUAUAUUUACAUAUAUCAUUAUGUUAAAAAUAUUUGAAAUUAAUAUUUAUAUAUAAUAUAAACAUCAACUAAAUUUUUUGAUAUAUUUUUCUUUAUAUAUAAUAUUUAUCCUCUCCCUAUAUAUUGUGGAUAUGGUGAUUUCUAAUAUUAUAAAAUGAAAUAAUUAUUUCAAAUAUAAUUAUUUUUAUACGUAAAAUAUUUCAAAUAUCAUUGUUUUUUCAUCUAUAAGGUAUGAGAUUUCAAAUAUUUUUAUAUGUGAAAUAUUUUAAUUAAUUAUUUCAAAUAUAAUUAUAUUUAUAUGUGAAAUAUUUCAAAUACACAUAUAAAAAUAUAUAAUAAUAAAAUUUACUACACUCGUGAUAUGGAUUGAAAAAUAAAUAUUACAAAUAUAAAAAUUAUAUUUAUUAAAAAUAAUGACAUUUGCAAUAACUAUUUGGUUUUAUAAAUAAAAGAGUUAUUAAUUAAAAAAUGAAUUAAAAAUAAAAAACUUGACAAUAUAUUUAUUAAUUAAAAACAUUUUUAACAUAGAAGUUAUGAAUUAAAAAUAAAAAAACUUGAAAAACAAUAUAUUUUUUAAUUAAAAAAAUUAAUUAAAAAUUAAAAAAAAGCUUGAAAUAGCAUGAAAUAAAUACAAAUAUGCUUAGAAGAGGAACCAAACCUAGGUCUCAAUGAAAUCGCUAUUAUUUAAUCAUCUAACUAGAGGAGUUAAUAUGUUAAAAACAUUAUUUAAAAAAAGAGUUUGAAAUAAUAUGAAGUAAAAAAAUAUAUAAAUAUGAGUAGGAGAGGUAUUGAAUCCGAGACUCAAAGACAAAACCACUAAUAUUUAAUCAAAAAAGUUAAUGUGUAAAAAAAGUCAAAAAACAUGUGUUGUAGAACAUGUUUUCAGCAUACAACGCGUCCAGACUUUCUUUCUCCAAAAUCGGUUUAUUUUUCUAAAUAUCCCAAAAAAAUGUCCUAUUUCCUUCUUCUUCUUCUUUUUUUAUGUUCAGCAUAUUCAUCAAUUUUAGCCGAGGGAUUACAUGCAUAAUUUAGCAAGGAAAUGGAAUUUGAGCCGGCUCUCAACUUGAAAUUAUUGCCCCUUGUGUCAUAAGAUAAUCAUACAUCAACUUGAUCGUUGCUUCUGAGCUCUCAAGGUGAGCCAUGGUGAUCAAAUUAUUGAGGCAUGAUGGAAUGGUUUUUGAUAUAUUGUUGAGAGAGAUACAAUACAUGAAGGAAUUGUUGGUGACAUAUGUCACCAUGAAACUUAUUUAAUCGAAGACGUGGAACAAUCAACUUCUUAAAACUUUCUCUUAUUCAUGUGAGGGAUGAUUCUAUUUAAUUUAUUUUUCUUCGGAGUUAGUGUCAAUUGAGUACAAUUUUUUGGGAUUGAGGGGUUUUAUCGUGUAAACUUAUACUAAUUGAACUUGUUAUAUUUAUGAACUUUAUAAUUAGUCAUGUGAAAGGAUGUAAAAUAAAAUAUGCACAAAAGCAAUAAUGCAUGCACCAACUAUAUUCUGUGCCGAAUCUAGAGGGGGGUUGGCGUGGGCCUCGACCCCCCCUAAAAUUUAAAAUUAUUAUUUAAGUCUUUAAAUUUUUUAAAAAAUUUUAAAUUAAUAAAGGUAAAAUUGUACUUUGGCACUCUUAAAAUUAUAAAAAUUUGAUUUAAUCUUUUAAAAAUUAUAAAGAUAUAGACUAUAAAAAAUAAAAAUUUCAUUCGGCCCUUCUAAAAGAUUGUUCUGGCUUCGCCCUUGACUAUAUAUAUUUUAAUUUUGUUGAUUUGAUUCCCACUUUCUUUUUAUUUUUAGAACAUAAUUCUCACUUUCUUUAUUUGAUGUAAAUUCACAAUAUAAAUUCUAUGAUAAGUUUAGAACUAUUAUCUGUCCAUUACAGCAUGUUAUUAUAGAGAGGAGUGACUUGACCUUUAUAGUUCAAAACUCAACGAAUUCCCUUAUAUGCUCUUUUUGCUGAAAAGGGUUAAAUCACUAUUUGAGACUUGAAGUUAACAACUAUUCUCACAUUGGGUCUAAUUUUUUUUUAAAUUAGUCCUUAAACUUUGCAAUUAAUCCUAUAUUGAGACUUGAACUUUUUGUUCAAGUUAGCCCCUAAACUUGUUAAUUAUUCCCAUAUUGAGGCUUAAACUUUUUUUGUUCAAGUUAGCCCCUGAACUAGUUAAUUAUUCCCAUAUUGAGGCUUGAACUUUAGAGUUUUCAAGAAAAUAUCAAGGAUCAACUUGAGAAAAAAACUUAAACCCUAAUCUGAGGAUAAUUGUCAAGUUUAAACCCAAAAAGUGAUUUAACUCAACUAAAAAUGGUAAUGUUGUAUGAUUUAAGCGUCAUUGACAUGAGCAAGUGCAUUGAUCUUGCAUUUUGCUCUGUUCAAUUAUUAUUUUUUAGCCAAAUAUGAAUUUAUUUACUCAUCCGAUAAGGAGUUUCAAGGUUGAGAAACAGAGUUCCUUUUACAUUAUUCGUCAACAAAUAAAAGCAGUGUAAAAUCAAGACUAAGCACAAGAAAUCCGGAUUGUGAUGCAUUCAUCACACCAAAAUAAUAUUAGUCCAGUACUUGUUCAUCAUCCAAAUUCCAGUUUUCAAUAGGUUCUCAUCUUAGUUUCUUUUUUGUAAAGUUAUCUACAUAUGGAAAUUCGGAACACAGGUAAUGUUUUUCCACAGCAUUAACAGGCCUACUCGUUGUCGCCAUCACCGUCGGGAUCGAAAUCUCUAAUCUUCACAUCAGCAUCUUCGCCAUAUUGAAUGCAGUUGUCAAUUUGAGCCAAUACAUAUUGUAUGCUGUAAAAGUAGAACAUUUCACCAUUAUCAAUGAUAAAAACAAAAAGAACAUAAUUUGUCAAGCAUAAGCACUCCCAAGAACAUGGUGUUCUUUACGAAAUCAUUUCUAAGACAAGAAGCUUACAAAAAAUAUAGUUCUCGAAAGCAAUGUCACCAUCCUAUUGUUUUAAUCUUUUCAUUUAAAACUUAAAUUAUUAUGCUAAGUUACUAUGUUACUCAUACUAAGGUAUGUGAGUGUCAGAUAAUGGCAUGUGUUUGACACGGGUAUGUAUAUAGAGAAAGAAUAUACCUGCUUUCCUUCCUCAAGUCGAGGGGAAUAAAGCUCACCAUGCUAUAUUCAUCCACCUAACAUACAACAAAACAAUGAUGUGACAAGUUUUAACAUGAUAUAUAACAAACCCAAGCAAACAAUUUUAAGACUUUGUAUGAAUCCUAUGAAAAUGUGAAGAAUUACAUGCAAAAGAGUGCAAAUGAAACCUUGCAACAAAUAAAACAAUGUUUGAUGUAUUCACUUAACUGGAACUAAAUAAUGCAACUUUAUUGGCAACCACCAAUAGAAAAAGCCACAUUAAUGGUAUGAUCAUAUAAUAAUUGAAACGAGCUUGUAAGCAUUCCAAGAGACUCCAAAUAGCCAACCAAAGUUAUCUUACCAGUUCAAUCAAAGAUUUGUUUAGCUUUUUAAACCGAGGAGCCAUCCGUUCAUUCAACUCUGACAGUAAAUGAUGAGGCUCUGGAUCCAAGUAGCUAUGAAUAACAAAGACAUUGAUUAAGAAAAGAAAAUGAAAUAUAUGAAAGGAAAAAAAAAUGGACUGCAGGCUGGAGAAGAGUGGCGUAAAAGAAACCAAUACUAACUUUUCGACAUCCCUCUUGUUUGUUACAAGGUCCAUCUUGGAGAGGAUAUUAAUAUGUGGUACUUCAAGCUGGACCAUUGCAGAAAGUGAUGCCAUGCAUCCACUUACGUACUUAGUAACAUCUGUGAUAAACUGGUGCAAAUUCAAAUAGUUAGAGAUGGUAAAUGCCAUAACCAAUUAUAGAGACAUGCCAACUAAAUUUGAAUAGCAGACAGGCAUGCUGAAAGAUGCAGAGCUGAGACAAACCUGGGAAUCAAGCAAGUAUACAGCACACACAUUAAAGUUCUUGCGCUUCAAGUGCUCUACAAAGUUACGGAGCACUGGUACAUGUGAAAAAAGUUCUAUUUGGCCUAUAAAAUGACUGAAGGUUAGCAAAAUUUAUUCCCAUUUCUAGUACACUUCAACAAAUUAUAUCACAGCAGAAAGCCUAAUUCAGUAACGUAAGACCCCCAGUGUAAACCGUUGCCAAGGUAAAAGCUAAAGAAGUUGAAAAUACUUUUCCAGCUUUUGCUGACAAGAUACUAACAUACGCAUCCAAGCAAAAGAGAUACCUGGACAAUCAAAUACCAGAUAGUCGUCAUCCAAGUAAUUGUCCAAUUCUUCAUUCAGCCAAUCAUCAAGAUUAUCUUCAAGAUGUCUGGUUGGAGAUUAAGGUUUACAUUUUCGCUCCCAAAAUCUAACAAAGAAAGGAAUAAAAUGCAGAUCUUCAUAUGAUAGAAUACAAAGCUAAGGACAUUGGCAAGAUGAAUAAAAAUGAAAAUCCCACUGAUAAAGCAAGACAAGAAUAAAAGGAAAGGAUACUCCAUGCAGUAUAUAAGGCCACCAUUUGGACCCAAGCCAAGCUCCUCCAUCACAUCAUCCAAACUAAUGAGUUCUCGUAUAUCUACAAACCAACAAAACUCCAUUGCAACAAAACCAGAGGGGAAAAAAAAGAAAGAAAAGAAGUUAAAAGCAGUGAGAAUCAUUCAAGCAGAAGGUUGAUUACCCAUGGCUACAGGAUAGUCGAAAUUUUCUGCAGCAGGAUCUAGGUUCACAAUAUGUAUUGACCGUCCAAGGGUUUCGCAAUGCUGGUACAGGCUAGAGCAGUAGGUUGACUGAUUCCAAAAACACAAAGUCACUUUAGCAUAAAUAAGCAAUGCCAAUAAAAACCAACUGGCUAAGCAGACCAAAGACUGCACAGACUAAACCAGGAAAACCCAAGGUAGAUAAUCCUCAUUCCAAACCCUUGAAUGGAAUAGUUGAUAGACUAACUCACCUUGCCACUGCCUGCAGGACCAAUAACCAAUUGUGCAUAACCCAUGAUAGCUUUUCCCACUUAUCAACCUUCUUCACUAACUCAGAACGAACACAAGGAAUUGACUAUCCGGAACGAUGCAAGAAUCGCGACAGUAACAUAUGCAGUACACCACACACCAACAGCAAACAACAAAAUCAAGAAAUCAGAAUGGCCCAUAAGCAGUGGUGAUAGAGAAACACAACAUCACAUAACCUGAAUUAUCAAUACCAAAGAGAAAACUGGAAUCACAUUCUGAUUACAUUACCCAAAUAUGUAAGAAGAAAGAAACCCCAUCAUAAGAUUUAAAUAUUAAUAAAAAUGUAAAUUAAACAAUAAAAAAAACAUGAAUUUUGGAUAGAGUUGACCGCUACAAAUUCAGCAAUUGGCAUAAUAACAAAUGAAACCAGCUUCAUCCAGUUCAUUAUAUGUAGAAAAUUUGUGUACUAACACAAAACCCAAAAAAACCCAUAAACGAAAGUGCAGAAUAUAAUCAUAUUAAAACCAAAUAAGAGAAAAAUUAUUGACUAACUGAUUUUCCUCUCAUAAUAAUCUUUUAAUCAUUGAAGAACAGCUACAUAAUUGAAAAAAGCAAGACGUGCAAAUAGUUCCCCAAAAUGAAUCGUAGAAAAAGGGAAUAUAUAUUAUUAAGGUUAAAAACCAGAAGAUUACCUGAAAUCGUGAAUGCUAAUUUUCUACAAUGGACACUGAAAGAAAGGAGAAGACUUUGAAGACCAGGCUUGGGACACAGGCACUCAGGUUUUAGCCUUUUAGGGCUUUGCAUUCGAUUGUUUAGAAGCUAAACGACAACGUUUUUGGUGAAAAUGACCAAAACUUUUUUUUAUUAAAAAAGGUUAAUAGACUAAAUAAGCCCUUGAAAUUUAUCAAUUUAUUUAAAUAAACCCUUAUAUUUUUAUACAUCCAAAUAAGCUUUAAACUUUAAUUGGUAUUCACUCAAAUAACCUCUUCACCUUUAACUUGUGUUUCUUAUUUUUCUCUUUAUACCUUUGGAUAUAAUUGUGUAAAAAUUUAUAUUAUUUUUUAUGUUGAAAUCAUGUAUUAUAGAUGUUUUACUUCACUCAUAGACCUUUUCAUAAAUAAUUAAGUCAUCGAUUCUUAAGGCAAGAAAUUUGGUAGAGAUAAUAUAUGAUUAUAAAUCUCAACAUAACUUUUAAAAAAAUCCAGAAAUAAAAUUUCAAUUAAAGACUAUAUUAUGGAGGUUUUUAUGUUAUGAGUCGGGUUGUAUUUUGUCUUUUCUAUAUAAAAAAUGAGUAAAUUAGUCCAUGUACAUUAGAUUAAAGAGUAAAUUGGUCCUCUUAUUAAAAAUUUCAUCCACUUCUAUUGUUAAAAAUUGUUCCUUAUAUGUUAGAAUAAGGCACACGUGGCAUGACACAUGUACCUGUUUGAUUAUUUUGUCAAACAUGUCAGUUUUUAACGAUAGGAAUGGAUGAAAUUUUUAACAGAAAAGAUCAGUUUACUCUGUAAUCUAAUGUAUGAGAAUUAAUUUGCUCAUUUUUUUAGUAAAAGGGAUAAAUACCACUUGACUCCUAAUAUAACGACCUUCAUGAUACUUUUACUGAUUGUCUUCUAUAUUAUUUAUAGCGAUGACUCAUUUUUUUUCUCUUCAAUCAAAUUAUAUAAUUAAUUUUGUUGUAGAGUAAAAGCUCAAAAUUUAAUCAAAUCAAUGUAAUCAAAGUAGCAAUUGCUGAAAUGGUGGUGUGUUAUAGUUCAAGUAUUGUCCUGGAGUGUCUAUACGGUAUAAGUAAGAAGUUCGAGCUUUAUCAUAUAUAAACUUUUCAAUCAUUAUAAGACAUCUCGUUUUAUGAACACACUGCCUAUAUAAAAACUUGGACCUUUAAUAGAAUCAAAAGACAAAAUUUCAAAACUAAACAGAGCACAGACAUUUCGAAAACAUAAUACCUAACAAACAACAUUUUACAAAAGUGUCCGAGAAAAAUGAUAUUACCUCCAAAUCUGCACCCUAUUUUUUAUCAGACGUUAUUAUGUUCUUCAUUCUUCUCUCUCUCCUGUUUUGUGCUAAGUGUCUUGGGGAACUGACCAAAGAACAUAUAGAAGGCAAAUUCAGCCAUUGAUGGAUGUUUCAAUGCAAGGUAUAAGAUUCGACCUAAUAUAGAAUUGCUAGUAUCAUGCAAAACUUUGAUCUUUCUUUUCUCAAGUGUUAUUUGUAUCGUGCUGGGUGACUAUGCAUGUGCACAUAGCUCUAGUCUGGUCAUUUAGAGAAAAAACCCCAGUUCUAAAUAAGGUUUGCAGCAUUUGUCUAUAGAAAGAAUAAGCAUAGUAUGUGGCUGUUACAUUAUCCGCUAUGUUCUUUUAAGAACUGAUUUGUUUGUUGAAGCUUUAAGACCGGUCAAUGUUUGGAAGAUUUUAAAUAAUGAUAUUAGGCCUCUUGACUAAUUUUUUUGUGUGUCACUAAAGAGAUAUUAAGGUAUUUAUACAUAUUGUUGCUGUUUAUGAUUUUACUCCACUAUUUAUGGACUUGACCCUACUAUUCAUAGGACUGACAUUCUGAGCAGACCUCGAGUAUGAUGGACACGUGUAUUGUUCUGGGUCACAUGAUAAACCUUGCAGCCCAUCACAUGCGAACUUCUUGGGUAUGUGCAAACUGAGACCACAAACUCUCUUCGACUCGUACGAGUUGAUACCACGAGCUCCCCUGGCUGUCCUCUCGCUAUAUGUCUCGCACACAUCCAUCUGGUGAGGCCGAUUCGAGUCGCGGUAGGCAACCAAAAUUUUAUUUGGUUUUCAGGUUAGUGAUCAUUGAUGUAUAACAAUGCCCAAAAAUAGUUUUUUUAUUUAUUGAAAAUAUGAGUUAAGUUUUUUGUCUACAAUAUUUAAAAUUUAAGUCAAGUUUGUUAUCCUAAUUUAUAAUAUGUUAUUUUUUAUAUAUAUUAUAUAAAAAUUGAAUGUAAAGUAUUAUAAUCUAAAUAUUAAAAAAUUUUAAGUUGUUUACAUCUAUAAUUUUAAUAAAAGAAAAAAAAGGUAUAUAGUGAACAUUAAAUUAAAAAUUAACAUAGAUAUAUUUUCAAAAAAUUAGAAGUAUAUAUCUGCAUAUCUAAAUGGAUUUAAAUUAGCUAUUCAUAAAUAUGUAUUGGUUUGAACAAAAUUUGAAUUUAUAUUUUAAGUCAAGUUGAAUUAGUUGAUAAUGUAUACUUUUGACAUCAUAUUAGAGUAGAACCAAAAAGUAAGCAAGGACCUGAUCGUUUAAAAUAGAGAAAGAUUCUUUUAAAUCCUCUAAACUCUAUAAAAUUAUAAAUAAAUAUAUGAAAUAUUAUAUUUCAACCUAAAUUUAUAAUUUUAUUUUCGAAAAAAGAAGGAGCAACUCUUAACACUACAAGUUUGCAAACCCUUAAUAGGAAGGGCUUCGGUCACCGUUAAAAUAGAAAAUUUUCUAUUUAAAUCAUUUAUAAUUUAUAAAAUUUUAAAUUAUUAAUAGUAAAAUUAAACUUUAACCUCCAAAAAUAUUAAAAAAUUUAUUUAAUCAUUUAAAAUUUAUAAAGAUAUAUACCCUUAAAAUAAUAAAUUAUAUUUUUACUAUCAUUGAACUAUAUUAUUUAAUUACGACAACAUAAAAAUAUUUUUUUACUCCGCACAUCAACUAAAACCAAAUGAGAAAGGCAGUACUAUGAACACCCCAUUUGUCCAGCCAGUCAACGACAAUUUUUUUGUCUCGAAGCAUAGCAAAGUGAGCAACUCCAACUUCGGUCCAUCACCUUACCAGCUGCCAUGGCCAGUCCAGCUCUCCCACUCCCAAUCCCACCUCUAACUGAUUGAUCCCCUUACUCCAAGCCAGUUCUAGGCCGUGAUAUAAGCCCAAUAAUUUAGCAAACUCUAUGUUACAGUUACCAUGACUGCUACCAAACCCCACAAUCCAAUUACCAUGACAGUCUCGUAUUACUCCUCCAGAACCAGCACGGUGAUGAACUUGAUCCCAACUUCCAUCAACAUUAAGCUUAUAACAACCCUCCCGAAGCUUCUCUUAACUCAACAGUAGCUCGUCUCUCUUCACUGCACCACUCACGACAGAAUUGGCAGCUACAUGUUCCUGCAAGAGGUGCACUAGGCCAGCAAGCUUGCAAGCAGUCGAAAAGGGUUCAUUCCCCAUGAAAAAAUAAUCCGUAGAUAAAAUUAUGAUUUAAUCUUUAUAAAACUAUAAAAUUGCAUUUUAAAUCUCAUGAAAAAAAAUAUUCUAACUUCAUCCUUACAACCAUUCAUAAGUUCUGCCCGACUCAUAUAUACUUCUAGUAGAUGAAUGAAUGACCCUAAUAAAUAUGUCAUCAAAGAAAUUGAUAGUUCUCUAUUAGCUAACAUCACAAAAAACCCAAAGCUGUAUUUUGUAGUUUACCCUAAACCUUUUAUUUGUGGAAAAAUAUAGUGUGAAAAGAGAAGUCAAUUGAAGUUGAAAUUAGUCUUUGAUACUGUUCAGCAAAAUCGUGUUGAGGACCCCACUUCAUAUUUGAGCUUUGGAUAUUCCUUUGCUUUUAUAAUUGCCCUAUAUAGUUCCUUCAUGUUCAUGUCCCCAUCAAUCCCAAGAAUAAUCUUCAACUUUUAUCCUUUUUUUUCAUUGUUUUUUCAAUACAAAUAGUUUUUCUUUUUACAGAAAAUGAUUGUGUCCUUAAUAUCCUCAAUCAUAUUUCAAAAAGAAAAAAAAAGCAAUCAUAUUUCUUGCUUUAUUGCAUGGUUAAGAAUUAUGCAAGAUACAACUUGAUCAUUCCACUUUCACUUUCCUUUUCUUUUUUCUUUUUAUUAAGCAUCCUAUAAAGUUUGCCUUCAAAAUUUCUUGCCAUGAAUUGCCCUUAAAAGAUGCUUUUUGUAGUGAAGGAAAAAAAAAUAGAUGCAUAAAACUAAAAGUAAUAAAGAGAUUUUUAUAUUCAAAUUGCAUUUUGUCUUUUUUACUUAAAAAUGAAUAAAUUAAUUUCUAUACAUUAGAUUAAAGAACAAACAAAUCCUCUCUUUUAAAAAUGUCAUCCAUACUAUUAAAAACUGGCUUAGCUCGUGGAAUAAUUAGAUAAUUACACGUGGCGUAUCAUACGUACCUCAUGGUGACAUAUAUGAACCAAUUUUUAAUGGUAAAAAUAAAUGAAAGUUUCAACAGAAUGGCUGGUUUGCUCUUUGAUCUAUCAUAUAAGGACUAAUUUGUCAAUUUUUUAGUAGAGAAGACAAAAUGCAAUCUAACUACUAGUAUAAAGGCCUCCAUGAUACUUUUACCAUGCAUAAACCAACUAAAUUAAACUAGUUUUAAGAUAUUUGUUUUAGGCUAAAUAGGCUAAAUAUGUCGAUUUAUUUUUAAUUGGCCAAUUAUGUCGUUUUUUUUCAAAAUUUAAGGAAAUAGGCCGAUUUUGGAGAGAGAGUGUGUAAAAUCGCAUCUAGCUGGAAGCGUUUUCUAAAAAUUCCAUAGAAAACACAUCCAGCUAGAUGAGCUUUCACACACUCUCUCCAAAAUCGACUUAUUUCUCUAAAUCUUGAAAAAACACUUAUUAUAUUGCCUAUUUAGCCUUUGUUUCAGCCUAAAUUGCAGGGGAACCUUGGGGAGCUGACAAGCUCCUUAAAAUAGAAAUACUACUUUUGAUCCUUUAAAUUUUAUAAAAUAUUAAGUUAGUACAUGGUAAAAUUAUAUUUUAAUUUUCAAAAAAUAAUAAAAUUUUAAUUUAAUAUUUUAAAAAUUAUAAAAAUAUAAACUAAUCUCAUAAAAAUACAUAGCUUAAUUCCAUCCUAACCUUCACCCAUAAUUUAUAAAUUCGGGGUAAUUUAAAUUUAUAUAUACUAACGAACCAUCUUCAUCUGAACCCAAAAUGAGUACAAUGAAAAAAAAAAAAACUCUAGCCUAGUUCCUAAUGAAUUUUACUUUAUUUGAUUUAGAUGGGUCUAUUAUUCUAUUUGCUAGGUUGAUUUAAUUGUCAAACUUGACUGGCUAUAAGCUCUAGGUUUUGCCACAAAGUAUUUGAUUAAUUGCCCAAAAGAAAAACAUAGUGUCAAUAUCAUAUCAUAUCAUAAUAUAUUUAUGUGUGCAAAUUUUUUAAUGAAAUAGUUUGAUAUGAUAUCGUAAUUAAAGAUAAGGGCUUGCAUGCACUAAUGACUUUUUCGACAUCUAAAUUUAACUUUUGUUAGGGGAAGAGAAGACACAUUUUCAAAUGCUUUUGGUAUUUUCUUAUUUAUAAAUUAUAAAAUUGGAAAGAAAAAAAAAGUCCAUAAAGAAAAAGGAUAAAAGUCACUGAGAUUUGAAAAUUUGGGAAAAAAACUAAAAAAGACAAUGUGGGGUGAAAAGGGUUUUUUGAAAUCAUUUAUGUCAAUUAUUCAUUUUUGAAAUUAAGUAUAUAUUUGGUAUGAAUAUACUAAUUUGAAUAAUUUAUAUUAGUAGUUAUUUAAUUAGUAAAUUUUUUUAUCACUCAAUUAUGAAAAGUUAUAAAAUAGUCAUUCAACUAUUAGUAGAUUUUUUUUUCAAUCCCUCGACUAUAAAAAGUUACAAAAUGGUUACUUAACUAUUCAACUUUUUUUUUUUGGUCACCCAACUAUCUUAAAUUUUAGAAUGCUUUUAUUUUAACAUUAGCCAACUGAUGACAAAAAAAAUAAAUUUAAAUAAUUAAGUGACUGUUUUAUAACUUUUUUGAAUUAUAAAAGAAAUACUAAUAAUUAAAUGACCAUUUCUUAACUUUUAAUACCUUAGCGAUUACUAAUUUUAAAAUGCCAUAUAAUUAUGUUGAAUCCAACCUGGUUUGGUUAAAGAUGUUAAAUGGCAGAUCUUAAUUAGCUUUAUUAUUCAUUUAAUUGGGGAUUGAAUUUACUACUUUUGUUGGAAAUUAUACCCUUUUGCUCUGCUUUAUUUACAUACAUGUAUACCUAAAAUAUAAAGUAUAGACUAUUAGAUUAUUGAAAUUAUAGCCUUCUUUUUUAUUUGCUUUGCAUACAUGAUAUGUACCCAAAACUUCAUCAUAUGCAUCUCAUGGAUUUUUUUAAUUCUAUCCUAUAUUCAAAUUAAUCCAAAAUCAAAAUCGAAUCGAAAUGUUACUAAUAUAUUGCUAUUUUAUCUUUAAGAUUGAUACGUGUUAAUUUAAUACAUUGGUAUCGGUACAGAACAAUAUAAACAAAAAAUAAAUUUUCUUCUUUUUAAAAUAGAAUAUAUUCCAUUCAAUGCGAAGAUAAAAAUAUUAUAAAAUGGAACACAUAAUGAUUCAAUUCAAAAAAAUAAUAAAAUAUAUAACUCAAGAAUCCUAUCUCAUCACUGGACUUUUCAUGGACCAGGCUUCCGUUCAAAAAGUGGGAAGAUUUAGGUAAAAAUAUAAACUUGAAAAAUGAAAUUGGGAAAAAAAUAAGGCUCGUUUUGAAAACGAGUCGAGUCUCGGAAGGUUUUUUGGCCCAGGCUUGGUACAAAUUUGAAAAAAAAAAACUUUGUUGUUUUGUUGUUGUUUCCUCACUGCUUUGCUGCAAUUUCAUUAUUACGUUGCUAUUAUUUUAUUAUUAUUGUUUCAAUAUUGUAUAAUCAUUGUCCUAUUGUUAAUUUUGAUAUUAUUUUAGAGGCAUUUACUUAUUUAAUUGUACCUAUCUUAGUAUUAUUUAAAUAUAAAUAUUUUUUAAUUUGAUGGAAAAUAUUUCUUUUAAUAUUUUUGAUAUAUUAUAUUUUUUAAAAAUUUUAUAUAAAAAAUAGAAAAAAUUUAAUACAAGUGAAAUUUUAAAAUUAUUUUUCAAAUCAAAUCCUAACCUAUCAAUCGAAUGUAAAAUUUUAUUGGAGUCGUCCCGAAUCCAACCAAUGACGACUCUACUCGUCACUACCAACAUGCCACUCCUACUAAGUAGGUCAUGUCACAGCAAGAGCUUCCAUAACAAGUACCAUCAACCGCCUUAAAAGUGGAAUAAUAUUAGUAAAGGUAAAUGUACUUAAAAAAAAUAAUUUUUAUAAAGCGUAUUAUAAAAAUAAUAAUAAUUGAUGAAAUUUGGAUAAAUUCAAUAAAAAGGGAGAAAAGCAUUUAUAGGGAAUUGCAAAAAAUAAAAUACAAAAUAAAAUGAAAACCUUCAAAAAGCACGUCUGAAUGCUCUUUAAGAUUUACAACUGCACCGACACUAAAUAAUAUUUAUUUUCACAGUUUUAAUUUAUAUAUAAUAAAUUAAGGUGAUUAUUUAUAUACCAUCACUAAAUAAUAACAAGACUCAUUAUUUAUGAAAUAAAAAAUUAGGGAAUGACUCAUAAAUAAAUAUUAAUACUUUCAUUUAAAUAUAAACUCGAAAUUAAAAACCCAAUUUAAACUUUAAAUUUUAAAUCAUAAUAAUUAAAAUUUGGAUUGUGAGAUUAAUUUUUUAAAAAUUAAAAUAUUUAAAAAGUCUUAUAAUCUGAUGUAUAAUAUUUUGUUGUUAUUUCUUCUCUAUUUCUUUAAAUAUUUUUUUAUUUUUGUUAAACAUUUAAAACAAAUAAAUCUAAUCCAUAAAUAAAUAAAUAAAUACCAAUUAAGUAAAUUUUUUAAUAAAAUUAUACGUAAUAAUUUUCUUUUAUUUUUCACACACAUUUAUUGACCACCCAUUUUUGUAAAUUUAUCUUUUAAUAAAUGAAAAUUUUAAACCAAGAUAUUUUGACCCAUAAACAAAGUCAGAUAUUAUUAUUCACAUUUUAAAAAAAUACCAAAUAUUAAAUUCCUAAAUCCUAAAGCUUUGUACGUACAAGAAUCUAACCAAAUCCCAAAUCAAAGAAAAUUUUAAGAAAAAAACAAAAGAGAAAAUGACAAUCCUUACUUUGUACGAUUCCUUCUAUUCUUCCCAGUGGCAGUAGGCACAUAGGAGUUCGAGACACCUUAAAGAGCUAUUUUAUUUAUCUAAACAUAAAUUAUUAAAGGGACUUUUAACCAUUAUUAUUAACUAAACAAUAAUUGAAUUAAUUGAGUUUGUCUAACGCCACCCUCCACCCCACAUCUUUUAUCUUCAGAUUUCAUUUACUUUUAUUUCUCAUUCUUAUAAUUUCAUAUUAAUUUAAAUUUUCUUUUAUUAAUUUAGGCAAUAUUUGACUGAAAUCAUUGUUAAGUUGUUGAAAGAAAUAAAAGUGAAUUUCACGGAAAGAAUUUAAAUCAAAAUAUUUAAUAGCAUGACUGUAUAUUUAUACGAAACUUCUAUCCUCGGCACAUACAAUGGAGCUGUAGAUAGUCAAGUAAAAUUCAAUCCACGAAAUAAUUUGAUCUAUGGACAGCGUCGUUUUGGUGAAGGUCGUAAUGUCAGAAGAAUCAUUACCGCAAGGCGUAAGGGGGAAGUUAUAAGUGUCUAUACAGUAAAAUUGAUUUUUGACAAAAUGAAAAAGACAUGAUAAAAUCGUAACCAUAGAAUACGACCCUAAUCGAAAUGCAUACAUUUGAUGGUGAGAAAAGAUAUAUUUUACAAAGUAUUUGGAUCAAGUUUGAAUCUUGAAGUUGUUACUGUUGAAAGGAUUUUACUUGAAUACCAUCUUUAACCAAAAUAAAAUUAUGCUCAGAUCAUAAAACAGGUGAAGAUUAAAAUCAAACAUGUGGACAAACUACAAAUAAAUGUGCAUUUAUCACAUGAAUCUUGCAUGUUAAUAUAAUAUCCUUCCUAAAUUUGAUGGCAUCAAGGGCAAAGUUAAGAAUUUUGCUUAGAGGCUUAGAUAAAAUUAUAAAUUUUUGGAAAUUGGUUAAAAAGAUUAAAUUGUAUUAUUAGUUUUUUAGAGGAAAUAAAAAUAGAAUUUUUUUUUCAUUCAAUUAACAACUAAGAGACUUUAAUGGAAUGAUUUAAUAUUUGGGAGGGUCUUAAGGAAAAAUUUUCCUUUUAAUCAAAGGAGCCGAAGCCUUUGUUCAGUCUUCCAUUUACAAUUUAAUUUCUGUUUAAAAAAUGCUUUAUGUUAAAAUUUAAACUUGUAUUUAAAGCUUGAUGGAAAUAUUUGAUUGAUAGCAAAGGAGAAGUUAAAUUUUUUUUGUACGGGGGAUUGAAAUUAAAUUAUAAUUUUUACGAUAAUAAAAGUGUAAUUUUAUCAUUUUAAUAGUUUUUAUCUUUAUAAUUUUUUAAAAAUUAAAUUAAAUUUUUGUUUUUAUAGGAGUUAAAAUAUAAUUUUAUCUUUAUUAAUUUAAAAUUUUAAAAAUUUCAAAUAUUCUAAAUAAAAAAAUUUUAUUUUAAGGAGGGCGAGUGCCUGUCAGCCUCCAGCUACCCCUGAUUGAUACAAACAAGUGCUUUAAGGAAUGAAGUAAAAUAUUUUGAAGUUUAGGACUAAUGUAGAAUAUGAGCGAUGGUUUCAGAACUAUUGAUGCAAGUAAUCCUUAUAUAUAUAUUUUAAUGUAAUUAUUGUAUAUUAUAUCAAUCAGGAAUAUUUUAAUUCAAUAUUCUAUUUAUCUUAUUAUUAAAAUAUUAAAAUAGGAUAUUAAUUACUAAGCGUAGAAUUCUUAUAAGAAAAAGGGUGGUGGUUGAGUGACAGGCGGUGAAUUUAUCAGAGCUCCCCAAGUGCCCAAAAAAGUGGCAGACUAGAGGAGAAAAGGUGGAAAGUCCGACCGUUUAAAUUGACCUAAAUUUGCGGGACGUAAUUGUCGGCAAAUCAACUGUCUUAAAUUUCCAUUUCCCGCCCUUUCUUUUUUUACAAUUUUUAUCAAUCAAUCAAACCACUCUUACUAUUUUCUUUGAGUGGACUAAUUUAUUAAAAAUAUAAAAAUGUAAUUAAAAAAUUAAAUGCAGUGAUUAUACUUAUACAAAUUUAUAAAAGUUAUUAAAAAACAAUCUUAGCUGGAUUCAUUUCUUUGUUCGUGGAAACAAAAUCAUUUCAAUUUAUAAGUUGCUCAUUUAUUAAAAAAAUUUUAAAUUUUAUUAUUGUUUUUUUACAUAAAUUAAUUAUUGUUAAAUUAAAUUAAUUUAAUGUUUAUCUUUUUAAGUUAAAAUUUCUUCGUAACCCAACACAAAUCUUCUACUUCAACUACUAACUGAUACCAUGAAUCAAUCCCUUUGUCUCUGCAUGUCUCCUUUCUCUUAAACCUGCAAAAGACCACCAUGCUUUCCUCCACCUCCUCUGCCGCCGGCGGCUGUUUCUUCUUCCUUUUAUGGUGGUCAUUUUCAUCAUGUGAAGCACUUCAAGUUCCUAAUCGUAGGCUCCUCCAUGAACCAUACUCCACUCUUUCCUCUGAACCACCUUCUCUUCCACCUCCUCCAUCUCCACCCAACCCCAAAUACACUUUAUCUUCCUCCGCCGCCACUUCUCCUCCAGGUUCCCCAUUUUUCCCUUCCUUCCCUUCCGCUCCUCCGCCUCCUCCUCCUUCCACUUUCGCUUCGUUUCCCGCCAAUAUUUCCUCCCUUGUCAUCCCUCACACUCCCACCCCCAAACAUAAUUCCCAGAAACUCGUUAUCCUUGCUAUCGCCGCCGUCCUUUCCGCCUCCAUUGUCGCCGCUAUUAUCGUUUUUGUCUAUUGUAGACAACGUGGGCCGAGACGUGACUGCUUUGAAGAUAACAAGACCGUAACGUCGGAUAAUAGCAGUAGGGCAUGCCAGUACAACCACAAUGACAAUAACAAUAAUAACAAUGCCGCCGGUGCUCGUAAGGUGAGAACAACGUCGACAACCAGUUCCGAGUUCCUUUAUUUGGGAACUGUGGUGAACUCACAAGGCCGGUUCGACGACGGUUCCGGUGACUCUCCGGGCAAUGACGAGUUAGAUCAGACAAAAAUGUACUCUCCGGAGCUCCACCCAUUGCCGCCUCUGUCCCGACAGAACACCGGUCGGAACUGUCGGGACGGUGAAGUAGAGUACGGUACAGAUGAUGAUGAUGAUGAGGUGUUUUAUUCGCCAAGAGGGUCAUUGGGCGGGCGUGAUAGUUCGACCGGAACCGGAUCCGGGUCAAGAAGGGUCUUCACGGCGGCGAAAACCAUUGAAUCUAGUAGUACUUGUUCGUGUUCAUCUUCCAGUUCGGGUUCUCCGCCCAGGUCUCGUUCCCUUAGUAUUUCCCCGCCGGCUAGUUUUAGGUCCCGAUGGCCCGACCCGAAAUCUCCUCAACUCGUGCAAACUCAAGCUUCACCGGAGAUGAUUUUAAUUGAUUCACCACGAGUUUCAAAUGCAUCCAUUAAUGGAACCAUACGGUCUCCAUCGUUGUCAUUGAUCUCUACAUCACCAGAUAGAGUGUUCAUAAGAGAAUCAAACGAUCCAAACAUGGAACCUCCUUCACCGUCGACGGCGUUGGUUGAAAACCCUGAUUCAUCAUCACCUUCACUGUCUUCUCCAAACAGAGUGUUGAUCGAAAAGCUCGAUGAAUCGAUUAAAAACUUCAAGGAUUUCGUUCAAAACAUGAAAGCUCCAUUGAUUUUAGCUUCACCUGGUACUAAAGACUCUCAAGGCAACGAUCCUUCAGUUUGUUCAGCUUCUACAUCCCCAGACAGAGCUUUAAAUUCACCAUUGUUAAACAGAGCUUUCGAGGAAAGCCCAGAAAUGUCACCAUUGAAGCCUGAUUUUUACAGUAAAGCCCCUUCUUUAUCAUCUUUAGCUUCUUCAUCACCAGAAAGAGUUUUAGAAAAAAGCCCUGAAUCAUCUCCUUUAAGACUUAACAAAGCUUUACAGAAACCUAUCUUAUCUCCACCGCCUCCUCCGCCACCUCCUCCACCUCCAAAGCAACGACGGCUCUGGGAAAAACCAGUUCCAUCAGUAUCUUUUGCACAACAAACAUCAAAGCCGCUGCCUCCAUUAACACCCUCUUCAACACCGUUUAUAAUGGAAGAACAGGAGGAAGGUUUAAAACCCAAGUUAAAGCCAUUACAUUGGGAUAAAGUACGAGCUAGCUCUGGUCGUGAAAUGGUGUGGGAUCACCUUAGAUCAAGCUCAUUCAAGUAACAAUUCCACUUGUUUAGUUCUUUUACUUGAAUUCAGUUCAGUCCUUCCAUGUGAUUCUAACAAUUUGGUUUCUGCAGGUUGAAUGAAGAGAUGAUCGAAACACUAUUCGUCGUAAAUCCGAACUUGAAACCGAAUCAAACGACACCGCGGUCCGUUCUUCCAUUACCAAACGAAGAGAAUAGAGUAUUGGAUCCCAAAAAGGCACAGAACAUUGCAAUUUUAUUGAAAGCACUCAAUGUGACAGUGGAGGAAGUUUCUGAAGCACUUUUAGAAGGUACAAAAUGGCAUUAUAAGAUGAUAUGUAUUGUGAAAUGUUUGGUUCUAAGUUUCAUAUCUAUGGUGAUUUACAGGUAAUGCAGAUACACUUGGGACUGGAUUUCUUGAAAGUUUAUUGAGAAUGGCACCAACAAUGGAAGAAGAAUGUAAAUUGAAGGAGUAUAAAGAUGAUUCACCUGUUAAGCUCGGUCCAGCUGAGAGAUUCUUGAAGAUGGUUCUCGAUAUACCCUUUGCGUUUAAACGGGUCGAUGCGAUGUUGUACGUAGCUAAUUUCGAGUCUGAAAUUGAGUACCUUAAGAACUCUUUUGAAACUCUAGAGGUAAUUCGACUCGAUUCCAUCGUUCGAUCUAUUUUGCAAUGGACUAAAAUGACAUUGUGUGUUUUUUUCCUUUUCGUAGGCGGCUUGUGAUGAACUGAGAAACAGUAGGAUGUUUUUGAAGCUGCUAGAGGCAGUACUCAAGACCGGGAACCGGAUGAAUGUUGGGACGAAUCGGGGCGAUGCACAAGCCGUUAAACUCGAUACACUCCUUAAACUUAUUGAUGUCAAGGGUGCUGAUGGUAAGACAACACUCCUACAUUUCGUCGUGCAAGAAAUCAUAAGAGCUGAGGGUGCUCGUCUUUCGAAUACCAACCAAACACCAAACUCCACUUUAACCGAAGAUGCUCGGUGUAGAAAACUCGGUUUACAGGUCGUUUCAGGUCUUAGUUCAGAGCUCACCAAUGUUAAAAAAGCAGCUGCAAUGGAUUCAGAGGCACUCAGUAGUGAUGUCUCCAAGCUUUCUAGAGGCCUCGAAAACAUCAGUGACGUCCUACGGUUAAACGAAACAAUGGGGUUGGACGAGAGCAAAGAGAAAUUUUCGGAAUCAAUGAACCAGUUUAUGAAAAUGGCUGAACAGGAAAUCCCAAGGAUUCAAGCACAUGAAAGGCUAGCACUAUCACUAGUCAAGGAGAUUACUGAAUACUUCCAUGGGAAUUCAGCAAAGGAAGAAACUCAUCCCUUUAGAAUCUUCAUGGUGGUGAGGGAUUUCCUUACGGUUCUCGAUCGAGUCUGUAAGGAAGUCGGGACGAUAAACGAACGAACCAUUGUUAGUUCUGCGCAUAAAUUUCCAGUCCCAGUGAACCCAAUGAUGCAACAAACAUUCCCAGUUCCAAUAAAUCCAAUGAUGCAACAAGCUUUUCCUGGAUUUCAAGGGAACCCACACUAUGAUUCUGAUGAUGAAACUGCACCAUCUUAGUCUUUUGCAGCUUAAAAUCAGGUCAAAAACGAACUAGGACACGUGAUUUUUCAUGUCAGUCACGAAUAUUUCUAGAAAAAGGAAGAGGUGAUUGGCAUCAUGUUAGGUGUUUGUAAUUUAUCAUUUUUCUUAUUUUUCCAUAUUUGUAUAUAGAUUCAUGUACAAUAUUUUGGGAACACUUUAUGUUUUAUAGAUCUAAUGUAGGAGAGGCUAAAUUUAGAAAAUUUAUUAUGAUGAUGAUCAAAAAACAAAAUUAUUACCAUGGGAAAGCCGUCCUUUGCUCAUUUCAGCAUCUAAAAACAUUAUUAGCCGCCCUCCUCUAAUUAGAGUCUUUAAAAAGAAACAUUAGCCGCCUCUUCUCCCAUUGAUGACCUUGGCUGCAGCUCAACAUCAAGCCAAAUUACCGAAGGAAAAAUCUUCAAUUAUAUUCAAGUGUUGGAUUUUUAAGUUUAUUUGUGCUUUUCCAAAAUUUUUUUAAUAUAUAAGAAAAUGACAGGUUGAAUUUUCAUGCUGUAUAAAUGGUGGAUUUAACCUGUGAUUAAUUUUAGUUUUUAAAUUUUUUGAAUCAAUUAAUUUUAAUUUUAUACUAAAUGGUAAGAGUUAGGUUUUAUUAUGAUUUUUGUACUAGAUAUAAAUUUAAUCUAUGUUCUCUAAUUGAAUAAUUCUUAUCCCUAUACUUUUUGAAUUACGAUUUUUUAAUAUAAUUUCUACUAUUCAUGGUCGCUCGCAAACUUUUAAAUUGGAAGAUUAUAUUUGCCUAAGUGACUAAUUGUUGCAACAAUAGUGUCAACCGAGAUAUGGUUCAAUCCUCAAAAUGUGGGGCACUAAAGUUAUUGACUUUUUUUUAAAACUAAGGGUCUGUUUGAUAGGGGAAAAAUAUUUUUCGGAAUUGGUUUUCCCCAUUUUCCAGUGUUUGAUUGGAGGAAAAUAUUUUCCUCACGUAAAAUCAAUUACAAACACGGGAAAAAGAAGCUUUUAAUCUUGGAAAAUGUCUUACCGAUUUGGAAUCAGUAAGACAUUUUCCGAUUUUUCCAGCGUUCUCCCUUCUCUACACUCUCGUUCUCCCUUCUCCUCUCUACACCGAUCUGGUUUCGUUCUCCCGUUCGUUCUCCCUUCUCCCUUUCGUUCUCCCUUGAUUUGGUUUCGGGCUCCUUUUCCCCCUUUGAUUUCUUCUUCUUUUUAUAAAUUGAUUUGGGGAUUUUCUGCUUGUUUUUGUCUAAGAUCUUGCUUGGGUUUUCUGCUAGUUUGGCUGUGUUGUUUGGCUUGUCUUGGGCAGACUUUCUUCACAGACUUGCUUUAGAAAGGUAUAUUUUCUUCUCCAUAGUUUUGUGAAUCGGUUUCUUGUCCAUAGUUUGAAAGAUUUUGGCCACUGUUUAUGCUAAAUGUCACCUCUGCUCUCACUGAUUUGUGCGUGCUUUUUUUGUUUGAUUUUAAGUGUAUUUUUUAGCAGAUCGAAGCUUGUUUCGCUGUUUUUGAUCAAAGUGUUUUUUUUCUUUUGAUUUUCGGUUUUUGAUCGAAAUUCUGUGUUUUUCUGUUUGUUUGUCACUAUCUCGUUUACUAACUGUUCAUGCAAUUCUUAAAGAGUAUUAUAUCAUAAUGGAUUAUUUUUAAGUCUCUGUUUGGUUGAUAGGAAAAUUCUAGAAUUAUAUGAAAAAAGAAAUGCAAAUUUAAGUCUCAUUCAGAAAAUGAUUUCUACUUUGAUUUUGUUUUAUUAUUCUGUUUUGCACGUUCUAUUUCGUGCAAUGCUUCAUCGUAUCCAUAUUAUGUUACUCGUACUUAGAUUUGUAUAUAUGUAUAUGCAUCUGAUAAUAAUAUGUUCAAAGAAUUACAACAUUUGAUGUUGAAGAACAAGAAAUUAGCUUCUUCGUUUUCUUUUUUUUUUUUUGGUUUAAGUGAUUCUGUUUUAAGUAUAUGUUUUACCUUCUGCAGCCAUUUCAUAUCUUUCAAGCCUUCCCUCCCAGAGCAGGCCAAGGUGAGGAUCUUUGACUGGUUGUGAAAAGUGAAAGAAAAGUGUAACAACCCGGUUUUGACCCUAAUCGGAAUAGCGGUUUCGGGACCACAAAUUCGAAUUAGAAAAAUAUUAUUAAUAUUAUUUUGUGUGUUUAUUUCGUGUGCAUUUGAUUGUGUGAAAUUUUCGUGUUUUAAUUUCGUCGUUUAAGUGUCCGAUUUAAUAAAAGGGUUUAAUCGCGUAAAAUAAAAGUUAGAGGUUAAAAUUUAAAAGCACCUAUUUGUAGUUGUCUUUUUAAGUGGGAGGUCUAAAGAUGUAAUUAGACCAAUAUUUAGUUAGUGGGUGGUAUAUGCCAACAUUGCCCUUAAGUUAUGUAAUUUAUAAUUUAUUUAAUUAAGGUUAAUUUAGUCAUUAAGUAAAUUAUAAUAUUAUAACUAAAAUAAGUCAUAAAAAGAUGAAUAUGUUCAUCUUUGUUAGCCGAAUAUUGGAAAGGAAGAAACCAUCCAUGGUUUCUUAAGUUUCGGCACUUUCAUAGCAAAAUUAAGGUACGCUUUGGUUUCGGUUUUUGAUAAUUUUUACGUUUUUGAGAUCGUUGCUUUGAAUACUACCCGACCCAUGCUUGAAUUUCUGAUUUUAAUGAAUAUUUUGAGUUAUGCCAUUGAUGAAUAUUUGUGUUUUGUGAUGUUUGAUGAUGAAUAAUGGAAGAUAUGUCUUAGAUUAAUAUGUUUUGUCUUGGGAUUUUUGAUGAAUUUGAGUAUUUAGGGCUAAAUUGUGAAAAUAAAUUUUUGAGGGACUAAAAUGUGAAAUAAAUGCAAUGUGUGGACUUGUAUGAGAACCAUGAAUAUUCGGCCCUUGUGUGGUAUGGGCAAAUUUUGUGUAUUUUGUGUUUUGUGCAAAAAGGACUAAAUUGCAAAAAAGUGUAAAAUAUUAGGGGCAAAAUGAUAAUUUUCCCAUUUAUGUAUUUUUGGACUUAAUUGAAUGUUUUGAUGAAUAAAAAAGUUAAAUUUGAUUAUGUUUAGAUCAAGAAACGAAGAAAACGAAUUUGGAUCGGGGGAAAACGAAAGCAAUCGAAUAGUCGAUCGUGUCUGCUGAUAUUCGAGGUAAGUUUAUCAGCUAUUUAAUGUUAUUAAAUUAAUAUAUAUGUAGGUAUAUCUAUUAUGUUUGUUGUUGAGCUAAAAUUAAAAGAAAUUUAAUUGAAUAAAUUCAAAUUAUAAAUGGUAUAAAUAUGUAUAUACAAUGUUCGAAUAUAUAUAUGCUUAUAUAAAUAUUUUUGAAUUAAGUUAAAGUAUGAAUGGUAUAAGGUAUAUAUAUAUUCAAAUAAUUAUAUAUGUAUCUAUAUGUAUAUAUACUUGAAUUUGGUUGGUUGUAUGAGAGUUAUAUAUAUAUAUAUGUGCAUAUAAUAUUCAAUUAUAUGUAAGUAAAUACAUGUAGAAAUUCUUGCUUAAAUUAAAGAUAUGUAUAAUACAUAUGUAUACAUAAGUUUCGAACAUAUAUAUGUAGGUAAAACAUUGGGUUUGAUUGAAGGUAUGUAUGUUGUAAUUGUACAGAUAAUUUCGAAUAAGUGGUUAUAAGGGAGUUGGAACAUCUAUAUAUAUAUAUGAAUAGGUCUUGAUUAUAUUUUAAGGUAUAAAUGUUAAAUACGUACUUGGGAGUUCGAAUAUAUCAAAAUGUAUAUUCCUAUACAGAUUCUUGAAUUUAAUUGAAUGUAUGAAUUGCAAACUCUUUGUGAUUGAAUAUGGACUACAAUGAAUGUGUGUUUGCUAUUAAUAAAUAUUUGAGAAAUUAUUCUGUAUAUGGAAAAAUUGAGAUUUUCAGGCUUAGAACUUAGUAGGCUUAUUGCCGGUGAAACACUUCAGACAAAAUGUCUAGCAGGCUUAAUGCCGGUGAAAUAUUUCAGACUAUAUGUCUAGCAGGCUAAGUGCCGGUGUACUGAAUUAGGCUUUAAGCCUAGCAGGCUAAAUGUCGGUGAAUCUGUUUUUAAGUAUGUGAUUAAGUGUAUAAUUAUAUGAUUUUGGAUAUGUUUAAUUGAUAAGUAUAUUUAUAUAUACAUUCGGCUAAGUGCGUUUGAUGAUUAUAUAUAUUCGGCUUAUGCACUUGUAAAAUAUAUAUAUCUGCUUUGGGAUUUUGUAUUUGAUAAGUAUAUACUUUUAAAUAUUUGGUACACAUACUUGAUUAGUAACUACAUAUGCAUUCGAGAUAUAUAUAUACCUUUGUUUAUAAGUAUUUGAUAAAAAAAAAUGAAUGCAUUCAUUCAUAUGUAUUAGAAUUGUAUUUGCUUAAUGUUUAUCAUGAGUAUACAUACAUAUUCGGUUAUGAUAUGUGUAUAAUAUAGAUAUAUAUGCUUAGUUGUGUACAUUCGGUUGUAAUGUGGUUUGGUAUAAAUAUAAAAUCAAUUGAUCGCAUUCGACAAGUAUAUAUAUAUUGGACUAUAAAUAAAAUGAUCUGAGUACAAUAAUGUAUAAAUAUUAGGUAUUCGUGUUAAUUGAAAUCUCAGUGAAUUAGAUUAAAGAGUUAUAUUAUUUAUAUUUAUAUACAUUUAGUUAUGCUGUAGACUUACUAAGCUUUAAAAGCUUACUCUGUUUGUUUUCAUCCAUUUGCUUUUAUAGAUUUUGGAGACACGUUACGAGCUCGGGGAUCAUCAGCAUAGUCCAUCACACUAUCGACUUCUUUUGGUAUUUUGUUAAAUAUUUGAACUUAAUCUUAUGGCAUGUAUAGGUUUGAGUACGAUGUUAAUUACAUUUUGAUUGUAAAUUAUAAUAGCUAUGCGAAAGUAAUUAAAUUUUCACGUUGUGAUCAGUUUGGUUUUAGAAAUGGUUGUGUUUGUUCGGUAAUGCCUCAUAACCCUAAUUCGGCGACGGAGACGGGUUAGGGGUGUUACAAAAAGCUGGUAAAUGAUUCUUGUUAUGCUUUAAGUCUAGCAUUACGUAAGCAGGGUUUGUGGUUCAUGUUUUUAAGUAUCUGCUUUACCUUUGUUCUCCAGAGUAGUUGAAUAUUUGUUUCACAGCUACAUAUAUAGGAAUUUGUGGUUCAUGUUUUUAAGUAUCUGUCUUACCUUCUGCUGUCAUUUCAUAUCUUUCAAGCCUUCCCUCCCAAAGCAGGCCAAGGUGAGGAUCUUUGACUGGUUGUGAGAAGUGAAAGAAAAGCUGGUAAAUGAAACUUGCAUUUGUGCCGUAGAGCCUCAUUCGGAGGCAUAGCUUUUAACACGCUCUUAUAUAGAAAAUAGUCAUAAUUGAGCAUAAUGCAAUUUCAGUUCAAUAUUUCAUUUCAUUUAUUAAGGUUUCAGUUUCGUAUAUGGCGGUGCUGCAUUGUUGAUAUUAUCCCAAUUAUGAGAUAUUAUUCCAAUGAUGCUAAAAGAGAAUGGGGUAGAGCUAACAAGAACAAAUUCAUAGCAUGUGGAUGGUAUUAAAUAGUUGUGCAAACACUUUGAGUGUAAAACUGCUUCAUGAUAUGGUUGUGGAAAGAUUGUGGGUUAAGCAAAUGGCACAGUUUCUGUUUUAAUGUAGUAGGUUGUACAUUGGUUUUGGUUGCAUUUCUUGGUGGAUGUCGUUUGAAUAAUAAAUUAGAAUAACUAAAAUUUUUUCUUACACCGAUUUUAAUUUUGAUUCGUAUAGUGUACACUGACUAAAACAUUUCACACCGACUAAUGCACGAACAAUACUAAAAAAUUAAUUUUUACCAACUUUAUGGAUAAUAAUUUAAUUAAAGAUACAACAUAAUGAAAUAUGGAUUAUUCGUUUUUCUUUAUCUUUUUUUUGUGAAUUUAUUCGUUUUUCUUUAUUUACAAGUAAUCGAUAUCAAAAUCUUUUACGAAAAAUCUGAUUAGUAUAUUCUCAAACUAGAAUCUAUAUCAAAUUGGUCUCUAUAAUUUAAUUAAAGAUACAACUAAAAUUUUUUUAGUUAAAAGUAAGAAGCAUAGAAAAAAUUGGCUUCAAAAAUUUUCUUAGGGUUGAAGAUAUUGAUACAUUUAUGUGGUAUAAUAUUAUGCACUUGGACAAUGUUGUUACUAUGUGGUGUACUACUAAUUAUGUAUUUGGAUAAUAUUAUUUCUAGUCUCAUUGUGGUUUCGAAGUAAUUUAUAAUUAUUCAAUAUUAUUACUAGUACUCAUUGUGGAUAAUAUUUUUUCAAUUUCUAACGAUCAAUAUUGUAGCUUAAUAAUUCAGUAUUAUUGUUGACACCAUUUUUUUGUUUGAAACGGGGUUGACUUGGGUUUUGAAAAAUGAAACGGGAAAUGGGAGUCGCCACCAAUCUUUUUUGAUGAGGUGUGAUCGGGUCACCUUUAAAAGCGGUUGUUUUUAAUAAACAAUUUAAUUUUAUUAAAACAACAAGUUUGGUCUACGAAAUUUAGAAAACGGGUUCGGGAGUUGGUUACGUACGAGGAAGGAUUAGCACCCUCGUAACGCCCAGAAUUGGUACCUAGUUGAUUAGUUAAUGUCUUAAUGUCGAAGAUUGAAAACUUUAAAGAAAUUUAAAAUACGAUCCUUUUUUAAAAAAAAUUCGAAUGGCAUGAGUUUAAAUUCAAUAGGAUAUUUGACAAUUUGGUUAAACGAGAAAUCGAAACCCAGUACCUUAGGGCACGUUCCUCGAAUUUCCAAACGCAAAACAUUGCCUUAUUUUUGAAAAGUUUUUAAAAGGAUAUUUAGCUAUUUGGUCGAACGAGAAAUCGAAACCCAGUACCUUAGGGCACGUUCCUCGAAUUUCCAAACGCAAAAUAUUGCCUUAUUUAGAAAUAUUUCCUUUUUUAAAAUAUGAUAUUCAUGUGCAUGGCGGAAUAAUAAACAUGAUUAUGUAAAUAAAAAAUGAACAAAACGAAUAAUAAAUAAAUCAUACAUUCCAUAGCAAAUAAAUAAAUAAAUAAAUAAACUGAAGCAUAAAAAAAUAGACAUAUAAAUACAUAGUAAAUGAUCAUACAAAACAAUAAAGGAAAAUAGAUGAAAAUUAUAAAAUAUGAACAUGUAUAUGUAUAUGUAUAUUUAAGGGAAAUAUGUAUAUGUAUGUAUAUACAUAGAAUUACGAAAAUAUGAAAGAUAUAUAUGUAAUAGGAGAUAUAAAAAUAUAAAUAUCUACAUGUAUAUGUAUAUAGAAGUUAUAAAAAAUUUAAGUAUAUAUAUAUGUAUAUUCGUGAGAAAAAGAAAAAGAAAAGUAUGUAUAUAGGUAUAUAUAUAGAUGUAUAGAUAAAUUAUAAAUAUAAAAUAUAAGUAUGUAUAAAUGCAUAUAUAUAUAUAUAUAUAUAUAUAGAUAAAGUUAUAAGAAUGUGUGCACGUAUAUGUAUAUAUAUAAGCUAAAAAAUGUUUAUAAAGAGAAAUGUACAUAUAUGCACAUAUAUAUAUAUUAAGAUAUAUGGAUAUAUAUAAUAAGAUAUAUAGAUAUAUAACUAAAUAUAAUAUUAAUAACAAUAGGACAAAUAUAUUCAAGAUUUAAAUAAGCGAAUAUAAAAUAAAAUACAACAAUAAUAUUAAACUAAUGGUAUAAUAAUAGUAAUAUAUAAAAAAAAAUAUAAGUACAAAUAAUAAUAAUAAUAACGAAAUGGACCCAAUUGGGAUAAAAAAAAUUUAAGGGCAUUUGAACAGUAAAUAAAUGCGCAAAUAAGGACCAAAAUGGAAAGGCGCGAAAGGGCGAAGGACCUAAUGGGAAAUAAACCCAAUUUCAGGCCAAGCGUCCCCUCCCCAGGGGUCCAACAAAUUGAGGACCAAAUUAAAAAACGGGAAAAAUCUUCGAUCCAAAUUAAAAAAUGAAGAAAAGUCGUAAAAGGACUAAAUUGAAUCAAAUCGAAAAUGCGGAAGGGCCUAAAUCACAAAUAACCCCUUGAUAGAAAACACGCGGAUCCCCUAAGUUGGGUCGGGUCGACGCGCGGGCUAGGGAGUAAAGCGACGUCGUUUUGGGGCCAGAUGAAGCUGGCCAAAACGGCGUCGUUUCCAGGCGCUAUAAAAAUCAAAUUUUUUUUCAGAUUUCUCAUUUUCUUCACUUUUCUUAAAAAAGAAACUCAAAAACUCUCUCAAGCCCUUUUGGGCAGUCCGGCCUCAUGCCUAAGGUCCGACCGUCGGCCACCGCGCCAGUAACCGGCCGCCGGCGAUGGUGCCACCGUCUGCGGUGGCCGGAAAAGUCCAAAAAGGCCUAUUUUACCCCUCUUUUCGAGUUGGGUUCAUAUCCGGAGUUAGAAAAGCCGAAAUCCUGGCGAAAAGGGCCGAAAUCGGAAGAGACCUUUCGGUUCUUCUUUCUCACCUCCGCCGAAAUCAGGUAAAACUCUCUUCCCUUCGUUUUGUUUUGCUUUUGAAAUCUUUGUAGAAAAAGAAACAAAAUAAAAUAAAAUAAAAAAGAAACGUAAACAAAAAAUAAGAAAGAGAUGCACUGUAAUCAACCUUUUUUUUAUUUCAUUUCUUUCUGCCAAAUAAGUGUUUUUUUUUUACAAAAAUCGGUCCUUAUAAAGAUGAUAUUCGGCCUCUUUAUAACCGAUUUUGCUUCUACUUUUCUCUGUUAUUGCUGCUUGCGUGUUUGCUUCUUUGUUGCAGGGGCUGAUGGUGGAGUUGGUGGCGGUAGAUGGCGAUGGGACGUGCGGCUGACAGAGAGCAGCGGUAAGUGGGAUACUAGGGUUUCAGUUUCUGAAACCCUAGUCUGAUGUGGGCUUGGCUGUUGGGCCAGGGUGCUGGGGCUUUUAUUUCUUUCUUGGGCCCGGGUAAAAUGGGCUUGUACAGCUGCCCCUCUUUGCUCGUUGUCGUGUAACGAGAACAGAGCAAAGACUAAGAAAGGCCCAUUUUGCCUGGCCUCGCCGAUUCUUGACUUCUUCUGACGCUUCUCUUCAAGUAGCUUCAUCCCAGUCCACUAUGUCUGGUUGCUUCGAUCCACUCCACUGCACUUCAGAAAGAUCUGAGUUGUAGCUUUAAUCUUCUUCACAGCAACUUUAAGGGGACGAGAUUCAUGGUUUUAGUCUGCUCCACUGCAACGUCAGGGAGAUAAGACUUGUAGCUUCAACUACAACUUUAAGGGAAUAAGGUCUGAUGCGAUCUGCCCUACUGUAACUUCAGAGAGAUAAGAUCAAUCAUUUUAACCCGCUCCACUACAACUUCAGGGAGAUAAGAUCUACUACUUUAAUCCGCUCCUCUGCAACUUCAGGGAGAUAGGAUUAUCGGCUUUAAUCUGCUCCACUGCAACCUCAGGGAGAUAAGAUUUGCACCUUCAAUUUACCCCACUGUAUCUUCAGGGGGAUAAGACUUUGGUUCUUCGAUCCACUCCACUGUAAUAUCAGGGAGAUAGGAUUUGUAACUCGUAACUUUUGGAAAGUAAGAUUCGUCAUUGUAGCUUUAAUCUUUUUAACUGCAAUAUCGGAGAAACAAGAUUCGCCAAUUUGGCUUUAAUCUAUUCCACUGCAUCGCUUGGGGCGUAAGAUUCGUUAUUGUAGCUUUAAUCAAGAUUCAUCGAUGUGGCUUUAAUCUUUUUAACUGCAAUGUAGGGGAAGCAAGAUUCACCGAUGUGGUUUUAAUCUGUUCCACUGCAUCGCUUGGGGCGUAAGAUUCGCUGUUGUAGCUUCAAUCUUCUUAAUUGCAAUGUCAGGGAAGUAAGAUCCGCUGUUGUAGCUUCAAUCUGUUCCAAUACACCGCCUGGAAAUAAGAUUCGCCGUUGUGGCUUCAAUCUUUGGAUUGAAAACUAUGGUUUCUUCGAUCUGCUUCGUUGUUAGUACAAGAAGGCAAGAUCUGCUAUCUUCAUUCUACUCCGCUGUCGGUACAGGAAGGCAAGGCUAGUGUCUUCGAUCUGCUUCGCUGUCAAGGCAAGAAGGCAAGAUCUGCUGUCUUCAACCAUCUCCACUACAACCGAGAGAGGCAAAGUUUGUGUCUUCGACUUGCUUCGCUGUCAACGCAGGAAGGCAAGAUCUUUUGUUUUCAAACAGCUCCAUCACAACCGACAGAUGCAAGGUUUGUGUCUUUGACCUGCUUCGCUGUGAACCCAGGAAGGCAAGAUCUAUUGUCUUCAACCAGCUCCAUCACAACCGACAGAGGCAAGGUUUGGUUUUCGAUCUGCUUCGCUGUCAAUGCAGGAAGGUGAGAUCUUUUGUCUUCAACCAGCUCCAUCACAACCGAGAGAGGCAAGGUUUGCGUCUUCGACCUGCUUCGCUGUCAAUGCAGGAAGGUAAGAUCUUUUGUCUUCAACCAGCUCCAUCACAACCGAGAGAGGCAAGGUUUUGUUUUCAAUCUGCUUCACUGUUAAUGCAGAAAGACAAGAUCUGCUAUCUUCACUAAUCUGCUCUCUGGGGAACAUGACCUGUAUAAUGAACCUAAUUAUGCCUAAUGAUUAGGACGGCAUGAUCAAAAUGAACCAAAUGCUCCUAACUAGACAUGUGUGAAUGGUGUUCGCAUGAAUGCAGUAUUUUUUUUUUUGAGAAUGAUCCCGCCUAGGUUGUCAUUACUCGAAGUUUAUUAAGGCUUUGUCAUCGAAGUGCUAUAACACCUUCCUUUUCGACUGGCAUUUUUUGAAGAAACAUUUAGCCAGGCUGCCCCCACUGUAAACCUCAAAGUUAUAUCCACUGGGAUGCCAAAAUUUGUACCAUCAUUCUCCCGCUAUAAUACAAGGGUAUAAAUAUGUGGCUUUUCAUCCGUCCUCGUUUAUAACAAUCCGGGGAUAUAGGAUGUGAACUGUUCUGGUUUCCUACACCAUUCUCAGAGUGUCGUACCAAAGUCUUAUGCGCAAAUGAAGGCUCUCUUCUCCGAGGUAACCUCUUCCUAUUGCCUGAUGAUCAUUGCUUGCUUGUUCAUUUAAGCUUUGUCAUUGACACGACAUCUUGUCAUUUUGUUCAAUCAAUGCACUUGACAACAUAAAUCCAAAGAGAAAGUCUAAAUUCAAACACUUUCUUCUCAGAUUUCCAACCUUUAAAAUUGAUGUGUUCUAAACAAUAGUCCUGUUUCAGGCUCCUAUAUUAUUUAGAAACUUUUCAGAGUAAUAUGCAAAACUUCCUUUGUGAAAGUUUUAUUAGUCCAUUAAUCAUUAUUCCAAUGCAACAUGCUUGCAAAAAGGGUCAUAACAAUGGAUAAGAAUAAAGUUGGUUCUGAGCAUAGCUCGGAAGAACAAGUUAUCCAAAAAUAGCAAAGAAGGAUGACAAAGAAAUUGAUUGGGAAUGUAUAUCUUGGAAAAGAAAAAAGGUAUUCCAAGAACAACAAAUAAUAUGAGAAUUGGGUGCCUCAGAUAUCGCAGCUUGAACUUCUCUGUACAAACUUUCUGAAGACCAUUUUGAGUUUGACAUGUGUUUAGGAGAUCUACAAUGCUUUGUCGAUGCCCCAAGAUGUCGCUUAUCCCUUCCUGUUGAUUCAGGUAUAGCAAGAUCACCACAUGCCCUAAUAUGAUCAAAAUUCGAAUCGCUCUGAUCGCCUUAUUCCUCAUUCUGAACAAAUAUUUGAUACGCCCUUUUUGGGUUUUUCAACUCGAAUCCCCUUUGGCCUAAGGCGCGCUUUGCGGGUUUUCCCCUUAGACUUUCCAUUUUUACUCUUUCAUUUUUCAUUUUUCAUUUUCCAUUUUCAUUCUUCAUCUUUUUCUUUUUUGAACUUCAUUGUCUUGCAAUACAGUGACAAACCGUGAUGUCUGAUUUUGAAUUGAUUACAGCCCUCAGCUAUCAAGCUGUCAUUCAGGUUCAAUGCAACUUCCAAUACCAUCCUCUCUGGAAUUCUAUAUCGGCAUAUGAUGACGCAUUCAGUAGCCCCUAUUAAUGAUCUCAAUAGUGAAGCAAUGCCCAUUAGAAGUCUUCGAUAAUGGUGAUGUCCAUGCCCCAUUUUGCUCAAAAUUUGAGUCGCCCUCUUUUGGGUUUUCAACUCAGAUCCACCUUUGGUCAAAGCGCCCUUUGUGGGUUUUCGCCUUGACCCCUCCUUUUUCUUUUUCUUUUUCUUCUCUUUUUUCUUUUUCUUUUUUUCUAUUUUGACUUUGAUUUUUUUAUUUUUGAUUUUUUUAUUUUUUUCUAGUCUAAACUCAUGAGAUUAGGCAAGUCCUGGUCAUGCUUUUCGACCAGAUUCGAUGUUAUUCUAAAGUCUUCCACAUAUGAUCUCCCACUUUCAUCUUGUAUGUGAGAAACCAGAUUUCUUUCAUAGAGCCCUUUUGGUACGCAACUGCGACAGAAAAAUUUGGAUCUUCCUCUUUAAUCAGGAUAAAAUCCAACAACAUCUUGGAGGGAUGGAAACUCGACUUUAAAUGGGCAAAGCUAUGCUGACUCAACGAGAGAGGCAUUGCCCCGGCAAAGAAUUGCAUCGUUCGCAUUGUAAAUUUUUGACAUCAUGCUGUUGUGCAGGUUUUAUUAUAAGAAUCGAGGCAUACCCUGGUAUGACCAUACAAAGACAUCUUUGAAUUUUUCGUCUCUAUAGGCAGGUCAAUUCUAGUCUUCAUCAAGCUCACAAUUUCUAAUGAUUCAUUGAGAGGUAGGAUCUGUUUAUCCUUUUGUUCUACCAUCCUCAACAAGUUUGGAGAUAAGCUACGAUCUGUGUCAUCUUCAAAGUCGUGAGAUCCCUCUAAACACAUGUCUCGCUCAAAAGGAGAUUCUAAGUCUGUAGCAGUGUCAUUCAUGUUGUUGAUAUCCAGGGACCUAUUGUAGGUACAAAAUAAUAUAUAAAGAAUGUAUGAAUUUAAGAAUAAUUAUCUGCACAGUAUGAUUAUGAAUGAAUGAAAGAAUGAUUUGGAUGGAAGAAUAAAAUAAUAAUCAAUGAAAGAAUAUUAGUUCAAAAGAUCGCAAAGAUGCAUUCCAUUAAAAUAAUGACGUUCAGACAUAAGCCUAUUUCACAAAAGACUUCUUGUUGCUCUAGGCUGAAAGCAACAAGUGUGUUUUGAAUAUUACUCUGAGUAAGCUCUAAAUACUACAAAGGUUUCUUCAGAACACUCCCAGGUUUAUAAGGGCGAACAUCUAAUAAGAUCCCUUCUUCAGUUGCUUGUGCAUUGCAUUCACUCCACUCGUCAAUUAUGAUUGGGUAAUGGAUUUUCCGCAGUGGAGGAAUCAUCAAAUUUAACGAUGCCCAUACUGAUAAGCCUUUCAACCAGUUUCUUAAAGGCAAUGCAGUUUUCUAUGGAAUGCCCCGGAUUUCUCGCAUGAUACUCGCAUUGUGCAUUCGCAUCGUGCCAUUUGGGGUACGGAGGCUGUGGAGGUUUCGUGUAGAGAGGGGCGACAAUACGUGCGUUGAAUAAGCUUUGAUACAACUCCUUAUAUGACAUCGGAAUUGGCGUGAAUUGAAGGUUCUCAGUGCCUUGCUUCACAUACGAUUCUUGUCUAGAUGAACCUUGCUGACUAGUAAUCACCUUUCUUGGCUGUGUAAUCGAUUUGUUGUAGGUGUUCACAUUGCUCACCUCAUUUUCCUUCUUUUUUAAGUCUGACCUCCUAUUAUUUUCUCCAGCAUCAAUCUUUCCACUUCUCACGGCACUUUCAAUCAUUUCACCGCUCAUGACUAUGUCUGAAAAACUCUUCGAAGCACUUCCUAACAUGUGGGUGAUGAACGGGGCCUUCAAUGUGUUGAUGAAGAGCAUCGUCAUUUCUUUCUCUAGGAGUGGCGGCUGAACUUGGAUAGCGACCUCCCUCCACCUUUGUGCGUAUUGCCUAAAACUUUCAUUAGGCUUUUUCUCCAUAUUUUGAAGGGUAAUUCUGUCAAGGACCAUAUCAGCUACAUGACUGUAUUGUUUCAUAAAGGCUUGUGCUAAAUCCCUCCAAGAACUAAUCUGGAUACGCGUCAAUUGAUUGUACCACUUAGACGCUGCCCCUGUGAGGCUAUCUUGAAAGCAGUGUAUGAGCAGUUGGUCGUUGUUGACGUAUCCGGCCAUACGCCUACAGAACAUAGUAAUAUGAGCUUCUGGGCAGCUGGUCCCAUUAUAUUUCUCGAAUUCCGGCAUCUUAAAUUUGUAAGGAAGCACCAAAUCCGGAACUAAACUCAGAUCUUUCGCAUCUAUUCCACGAUAGCCGUCGAUACUUUCUAUCGCCCUAAACUUCUCUUCAAUCCAUUUCCAUUUCUCCUCAAACUGCUUUGGUAACUCCUCCUUCAUCUUGUCUUUCUCCGCUACUUCAUCGAAGUCCGGGACAACCAGAUUAUCGUCAGGACUAGAACCAGAUCUGACCUGAAGGUUCUUCGGUAUUGAAGCGUCACCUUGAAAGUGCUGAGGCCUAAUCGAAACAGAAGAUCUUCGUGGAUGUGGUUCAAUCUGAAUUUGCGCUUGCGGAGGCGUGUAUCCUGGAGAAAAAAGUGGCUCAUCAUUGUUUCCUUCUUCAUCGCAAACCACAGGAUUUUUCCCUUUAUCCACUCCCUUGGUUAUUAAUUGCGUCAAUUUAGUCAUUAGUUCAUCCUGAGACUACUUCAUCUUUUGUGCCAUGUCUUUCUGGAUCUUUUCCAUAUGUUCUUUCAUUUGCACCUGUAACUGGCUUGCAUCUCUUUUUGCGUUUGCUCCAGUUUCUCUAAUUUUUGAUCCAUUUCUUUGGCUUUGCGACGAGUACCGUAAGGAUGUUUGGUUGAUUGGUUUUCCAGAUUAGCUGAAAUAAUUUUACAUAAUUAGGGUCACUUCGUGAAAAUCUAAUGCAUAUGAUGCAAUGUAAUGCAAAUGCAUGAAAUGAAUGCCUAAAGAGACGUUGAUUCUGAUUCAAUUACAUUUAGGAAACUUUUCUAGAAAGCAAAUUCCCUUACAUAAAACGGAUACAUGUACGACCUCACGCUCAUAUUCCAAGAAACAACAUCGAUUUUUUCUUCAUCCGCAUGUUUGAGGUAAUCUCACCAAUAGAUGCCAUUGCUAGCUCAUUUUCUUGAUCUUGGUCGCGAUCCAUCAUCUGCCCAUCUUCAUAAGGCUCGUCAGCUUGUUGAAGGCUUUUGGACAAUCGUCUCGAAUCCCCAGGCCACCAAGCAAGGUCACGAACUCUUCUAUCGCCAUUCUUAUGUUUCUCAGAAUAUGUUUGGGAAGUCGUAUUGUUUUCCACUUUAUCAAGGAAUUCGUAUUCCAUGACAAGCUUUCUAAUUUAGUAAUUGGAUUUGAAUCCAUAUCUCUUUCCUAAAAUGCAAAUGCAAUGCAAUCAUAACAAGAUCGGUUAGUAAAAAAAAUAGAAGCAAACAAGGAAAACAAAAAGUACCUAAUCAGGUAGAUACUAGGGGUUUGGAGUGCCUCUACCUAGGUUAAGUUCCUAAGUCUACUAUAUGAUGUUUGGUUCUAAAGCAAGGGUACCCAAACCAGCAGAUUCCUCGAUUCUCACCCAUUAUAGGCUCAUAUAGACCGAGUUCAGUUCAGGGGGAUACAUUUCCCUAUGGCCAUGCGGAAAUGAAAAUCUCACGAAGACAUAGGUACGGAUGUAUCCCGGAAGCGAUUAACUAUCCCAUGCGGAGGUGAAAACCUCACGAAGGCGUAGCUUCUCACUCCCACCUAAGAGGGUGUGACCAACGGCCAUGCAAUGCAAUGUGCAGAGAUAUAAAAAUUUUAGAAUACAAAACAUGAUAAAAACUAUAACUCAAAACAAAUGAAAUGCAAUGAGAGGAUCGUAUAUUUAAACCAAAUUUUCAACUUUCGACAAAAAGACAAGAAAUAAUCAACUCAUGGCUUGACUCUCUUAUUUUAAGGUCCCCAGCGGAGUCGCCAAGCUGUUGACACCAUUUUUUUGUUUGAAACGGGAUCGACUUGGGUUUUGAAAAAUGAAACGGGAAAUGGGAGUCGCCACCAAUCUUUUUUGAUGAGGUGUGAUCGGGUCACCUUUAAAAGCGGUUGUUUUUAAUAAACAAUUUAAUUUUAUUAAAACAACAAGUUUGAUCUACGAAAUUUAGAAAACGGGUUCGGGAGUCGGUUACGUACGAGGAAGGAUUAGCACCCUCGUAACGCCCAGAAUUGGUACCUAGUUGAUUAGUUAAUGUCUUAAUGUCGAAGAUUGAAAACUUUAAAGAAAUUUAAAAUACUAAUCAACUAGGUACCAAUUCUGGGCGUUACGAGGGUGCUAAUCCUUCCUCGUACGUAACCGACUCCCGAACCCGUUUUCUAAAUUUCGUAGACCAAACUUGUUGUUUUAAUAAAAUUAAAUUGUUUAUUAAAAACAACCGCUUUUAAAGGUGACCCGAUCACACCUCAUCAAAAAAGAUUGGUGGCGACUCCCAUUUCCCGUUUCAUUUUUCAAAACCCAAGUCGACCCCGUUUCAAACAAAAAAAUGGUGUCAACAAUUAUUAUAAAUAAAUCAUUGCAAUAUAUGUAAAAGCAAUUUAAAAUAUAAAAAUUUAUUAAUAUAUAUUAAUAUAUGUAAAAAAUAACUUUUCCGGAAAAUAUUUUUAGGAAAUCUGUCAAACAGCAGAAAAUAUUUUACACAGAUUCAAUCAAACACCAGAAAAUAUUUUCCAGUAAAUCAUUUUACAGAAAAGUAAAACAUUUUCCAGAAAUCAUUUUACGGAAAACAUUUUAAUGGCAAUCAAACGGACCCUAAUAUAUGAAAAUAAUAAGCUGAUAUAGCACGAAUAAUGCCCAUAAAUAAGUAAAUAAUGUGUUUCAGUGCACUCGAACCUAUAUUGUAAUGGCCUAAUCUCAAGGUUAUCGGAACAGUGGUUUCGUAACCACAAAUCCGAUUUAAAGAGAAAUUUAUUUUAAUAUUUUUGCAUGAAUAUUGAUAUGAGAGGAAAAUCAUAUGAAAAUAUUGAUAGAAAAAUUUUACCGAUUUAGUGGUUAGUUAGAAAAAGAAAUUAUUGAAGAAAUUGGGUAAAAAUAAGGUAUCGAGACCUCAAUCUCGUAAAACCGAGUCAAAAAUAUUUUUAUAAAUAUUUAUGAAAUGUUAGUAAUAUGGUAUUAAAAUUUCGUUAGAAAAUUUUAAUGUUUGGGUAGUCAAUUAAGUGAAAAGGACUAAAUUGAAAAAGGUGUAAAAGUUACUAAAAGAAUUAAAUAGCUCAAUUGUUAAAUGAGGAGGGACAUAAAUUGAAAAUAAGCCCAAAAGGAGGUAUUUUGGGCGGCAUAAGCUGAGAAAAAUCGGGAGAAUUAGUGAAAUGAGGGUAAAAUAGGAAAAUAACAAAUUUUACUAACAUAAAAAUGAGACCAAAUUAGAAUAUCUAGAAUUCUCUUUAUUUUUCUGCAUUCUCAUCAGACAAAAACAUCCUAAGGGUUUAUUCAAGCUUAUUUUUCAUACUUUUUGCACCAAGUAAGUUAAUCCUUGCCUUUUUCUUGUAAUUUUUGUGUUUCUAAGACUUUUACAACUAGGUCCUAUUACUAAAUUCAUUAGUUUUUGAUUUUAUGAAUGAAAUUGAAAGUUUCUAUGAAUAUGUGCUGGAAGUUUAUGAUGAAAUAUCAUGAAAUUGAAGCUUUAAUUUGUAUAUGAGAUGAUUUUAUUAGGUAAUUUCAAUAGAAAUUGAUUUGUAGGACUUAAUUGUGAAAAAGUUAGGAAUUAAAGUCUAGUGCUAAAAUUCUGAUUUCCAAAGGUUAUAAAAUAGUUUAAAGUGAUAUAAUAAAGUGUUAAUUGAGAAAAAUCAGCUCAAUUGAGAGGUUAAUUGAGCAGUGAUGAAAUUAUCAUUUAUUGAAAGCUUAGGGGAAAAAUGGUAAUUAACAUUAUGCACUAAAACAGUUUUGGACAGCAGCAGUAGGUUAUUGAGUCUAGUUUCUUAUAAAAGAAAUGGUGUAAGUAAUGGAAUUGUAAAUCAUGAGAUAUAAUAGAUUUUGUGAGACAAGGUCAGAAUGAAUUCGGGUUCCCCUGUUCUGACUUUGGAAAAUCAUUAAAAAUUGUACAAAAAUGAUAAUGAGUUAUAAUUUAUAUGUUUAGAAUCCUUAAUAAGUCUCUUUUCAUAAGAAACAACGGAAACAUCAUCCAAAUUCUGUACAAUGAGAUAAUUAAUUUUUAGUGAAGAGGGGUCGAAACUGUCAAAUAGUGAAAUAGGGGAACUUUAAAGAAUAAACUGUACUUAUUGGCUAAACCAAAAAUUCUGAAAAUUUUAUGGUAAGAAGAUAUGUGAGUCUAGUUUCAGGAAAAUUAGCGGAUCUUAAUUUGGAGUUCCGUAGCGCAAGAUAUAAAUAAUUUAGUGACUAUGACUUAGUGAGACAGCUUUGAAUGCACUAUAAAUAAUAAUGAAAUUAUAGAGAAUGUUACAUAUGAACAUGAAAUGUAUUAGAUUUAUCAUUAAUUUAUUUAUUUAGAUCCAGAAAAUUCAAGUACGAUGCUAGAUCGAGGAAAAGAAAAAGUUUGGGAUUAGUAGAUUUUUUGUUUAUGAACAAGUAUCGAGGUAAGUUCGUGUAAUUUGAAUUAUAUUCUUAAAUGCUUGAAAUAUAUUUUUCUUGAUGUGAAUAUGAUUUGGAUGUUUAUUGUAUGAUAAUUGAUGAAGUAUUGAUAUUCUUGAUGAAAAGAGAAAAUAAAUCCCGGUUGAAUGGAAGGAAAAUUUGAUGGAUCUCUGAAAAGGAAUUGACGGUAAAAAGGAUCUAGCCCGGACGGGUGAUCCUAUCUUGAUAUAGCCCUCCCUAAGAAUAUGUGAAAAAUAGAUUUAGCCCGGACGGGUAAUCCGAAUUAGGGUCUGAAUUUAGCCUAGAUUGGUAAUUCAGAUCCAAGCUCAUUAGAGUAAUUGUCAUUGCAGACGAUUUAGCCUGGACUGGUAAUCCCGACAAUACUAUAUGAGUUUAUAUUACAGAGGAUUUAGCCUGGACUGGUAAUCCCACUGUAAGGAUGAGGUUCGCAGGAGUGUGCUCUCUGAAAUGGAAAUGUGCGCACAUGAAUAUGAAUUGACGGACCCAGAUUUGUACACUAAAGUGUACCCCUGAAAAUCCAUCGAAAUUCUAAGCAAUUCAACGGGAUAAAUAUGGAAAAAUAACAAGGGAAUGGAAAUCAUGGAAUUGAUGAGCUCAUCAAUCAUGGUAUAUAUAUUAUUGAUACAUGUAAAUUAUUGAACUAACUUGAAUGUUGAGUUUGUGCAUGAUAGGGGAAUAAUGUAUUGAAUGGAUGUAUGAAUGUUUAUUGCGUUGUAUUGAAAAUAUUAGGUAAGUAUAAUUCUUGUUACACGAGCUUACUAAGCACAAAGUGUUUACCCUGUUCCCUUUUCCCCUGUUUUGUAGUGUUAAGAGCUCGGAGGUCGGAUUCGGUCAGAGACGCAUCACACUAUCAACCUCAAUAUUUCGGUAUAUAAAGAAACUUUAUUUUGGAAAUCAAUGGCAUGUAUAAGCUAGUAAAGUAAAUGUUAAUGUGAAAUGAAUAUAUGGUUAGCCAUUGGUAUGGCUAACAAAUUUUGGUUUUGGUAUGUGAUGAGGUUAUCUUGUGAAUAUGUUAAAUCUAUCUUGAAAAUAUGUUGAAAUGGAUUGGUUGUGUUGGAUUAGUCUCGGUUUAAAAUUGCAGGGAAUGUUAGAAAUUUAUAAAGGGGUUAUAUUGAGUUCAAAAAAAAAAACUUUGGGAUUUUGCGAAAAAUUUCUUAUGGUUUCUGUUGACACCAUUUUUUUGAUGAAAACGGGGUCGACUUGGGUUUUGAAAAUGAAAACGAAAACGGGAGUCGCCACCAAUCCUUUUUGAUAAGGUGUGAUUGGAUCACCUCGAAAAGUGGUUGUUUUUAAUAAAAGGUUUGAUUUAAUUAAAACAAUAAGUUUGGUCCACGAAAUUCAGAAAAACGGGUUCGGAAGUCGGUUACGCAUGAGGAAAGAUUAGCACCCUCGAUACGCCCAAAAUUGGUACCUAGUUGAUUUCUUAAUGUCUUAGGUCGAAGAUUGAAAACUUUAAAGAAAUUUAAAAUACGAUCCUUAAAAAAAAACUCGAAUGGCAUGGAUUUAAAUUCAAUAGGAUAUUUGGCAAUUUGGUUAAACGAGAAAUCGAAACCCAGCACCUUAGGGCACGUUCCUCGAAUUUCCAAACGCAAAACAUUGCCUUAUUUUGAAAUUUUUAAGAAGGAUAUUAAGCCAUUUGGUUGAACGAGAAAAAUCGACACCCAGCACCUUAGGGCAUGUUUUCUCGAAUUUCCAAAAGUAAAAUAUUGCCUUAUUUAGAAAAACUUUCCUUUUGAUGUACGGUGUAAAAUAUGCAUAACAAAAUAAUAAUGAAUACGACAAGGUAAGCAUAAAUAUUGUGAGGAACAACAGAUGUUAAGUAGGCAAAAUGAAAAUGACCAAGCGAUUACAUAUAAAAAAUAGCAAGUAAAUAAAUAAGUAGAACUAAAGCAUUUUUAGAAAAGUAAUAGUGUAUGCGAAUAAAUAAAUAACACCAAGUAACAACGAUUACAAUACAUAAGAUAAAUAAAACCAUGUAGAAAAUAUGAAAAUAUAUGUAUGUAUGUAUGUAUGUAUAUUUUUAAGUUAUGAAGAUAAAUAAUACAUGUAUAUAUGUAAAUAGUUUUAAAAAAUGCGUAUAUAUAUUAUAAAAUAUAUGUCGAGAUUAUAAAAUAUAUGGAUGCAUGUACAUAGUUUUAAAAUGAUAAAACAUAAAAAAAAUACAUUUAGGAUUUAUAAAAUAUAUGUACAGAUUAUAAGAACGUACGUGUGCAUGUAUAUUUCUUAAAAUUAUAAAAUAUAAAAGACGUAUGUAUAUACAUAUAUAUAUGAAAAUAAAAAAAUAUAGAUUAUAGAAUAUAAAAAUAUAUAUAAGUAGGUGUAUAUAUUAUGUACAUAUAUUAUAACAAUGUAUGCAUGUAUAUGUAUACAACAAAAUUUGAAGUUUAAAAUAUUAAAAUAAGCAAAUAGUAAAAUACUAAUAUUAAUGACAUAAUAUAAAAGCAAAAAAAAAAAACUAGGGCCAGAUUUUAAAUGAAAUAAUAAAAAAGGGUAAAGGACCACAGUAAAAUGCGCGUUAAGAAGGAGGGACUGAUCGCGCAAUAUUCCCCAUCCCGUAUGCGCAUUGAUUUGUGCGGAACCAGAUUGGAACAGGCGAGAAAUUACGUGGCCGAAAUUAAAAGAAAUAAAAGAGUGCGUCGCAUGUGUCACAGAAUUGGAGGGACUAAUUGUGUAAAAUACCCAUUAGGGUAAUAAUGCACAACCCUCUUUCCUUUACACGGCGCCGUUUAAACUUCAACACAAAAGCUAAAGACUUUGUUUUAUUUUUUUGCUGCUACAUUCUGCAGAGAGACGCAAAAAGAAAUAAAAGGGAAAUUCCCUUCUUUGCUAGGGUUCCAGGCUUAGCCUUGGAACCCCGGCGCCAUCACGCCUUCCCCUGCCCGGUGGCCAGAGCCAUGCUAGGGUGUCUCCCACCAGCACGUUGGAGCACGCUCAGAGACCAAGGCUCUAAAACGGAGGAACGAGGAGAAAACGGAAGGCCUCUGUCCCUUCCUUAACCAACGUUCGACGACGGCGAAGAGCCGAUGACGACGCCGGAUUCAGGGGCCGAUUCAGGUGAGUUUAUUCUUCCCCUUUUCCUUUAUCUUUAUUUUUUGUUUUUGUUUGAAAAAUCAAAAUAAAAAAUAAAUACAACGAAAAAAAGAAAAAGGAAAGAUUGGAAUCGAAAAUCCAGGAAAUCACCUUUGAUUUUUUUGCUUUUAUUUCUGUGAAUAAGUUACAAGAAAGAAAAGAAAAAGAAGCCCCCAUUCUAAUUACACUUCGUUCGGCCUUUAUAGCCGAUUAUGUUGUUUUUUUUUUCUAUUGUAUUCUACUGUUCUUUUGCCUCUGUUUUCUUCUAUUGUUUUGUCUUGUUUGCAGGUUUUGGUGAAGUCAACGGAGACGGAAAGCUUCCAUUUUGGUGCAAGGCGCAGCUGGCGGUGGCAGACCUCGGGUGUGGUGCACGCUGAAGGCGCACAUGGGUAGCAGCGGUGCGAGGCAAGGACAGGGAACCCUAGGGUUCCCUGUGCUGUUUAGUUUUUGGGCCCAAUGGGCCGUUUAUGGACUGAUAUAUUUUUUAUUUUUUUAGUUUUGUUUCGGGCCCGGAGUAAUUGGGCCUCUACAAUUUUGAUUUAAUCUCGAUUUGGUCUGGAUGUAUGUUUUGGGCUUCGGAGGCCCAACCAAAGGACGUCAUGACAUGUUUUGAUAAAUGAAUAGUAUUGAACUCGUAAUAAUGAAAAAUUAAUUCGGUAAAAUCUGGUAAUGCCUCAUACCCUAUUCCGACGACGAAUACGGGUAGGGGGUAUUACAUAUAUCUUCCUGCAUUGAUAGCAAUGCUUAUGUCAAUCGAGCUAAAAAUCAAUCGGCGGUUCCUCUUUAAAAAUUUUAAUUAGACUCAUGUUUUUAAAAAAAUUUCUCAUUAAUGCUUCAUAUUCUAGCUUAUAAUUUAUCUCAACCUCCUAAUGCAAAAUUUCUAGUUUCAUCCUUGAAAUUAUGCCAAAUUAAAUCUCAAAAUUUAAGUUGGAGGGAUUAAAACCAUAAUUAAGCUGCAAACUGUGAUUUUACUUAAUCACAGUUUCAUACAAUCCUUUCUUGUGCAGAGAAUGUGUUAAGUAUGACUCAUAUUUCAGUCAAAUUUGAAAAAUAAUCUUCCAGUUAAAUUCUAUUUAUUUGUUUCAAUCAAACUCUGAUUAGUCUAGAUUAUUUUAUUAUUAUUUCACCUAUGAAUUUAGCCCAUAAAUAUAUUCUUUUACAACCUCAUAAAAUACAUCAAUUAGAUAUUAGAACUUUUGUGUUUACGUUUUGAGGGUUAUUUGUUUUCGGGUUUUUGGAGUUUAGUUUUUAUCUUCAUCUUUUGUACUAUUCGUUUCUUUUGCCAUUAUAGUGAAAUUAUCUUUGCCUGUGAUUUUUUAUUCUCUUUGGAGGGGUUUUUCUACGUUAAAUUUGUGUGUUCAAAUUCUCAAUUUCUUCUGCUAUUUUUACUUGUUCGUUGCUUAAUCGGGUAUAUCCCCAACAAAAUGGAUUGUAUGAAACUGUGAUUCCACGUCAUCUUUAUCCCUUUGCAAUGGUAGAAUGACAAAUCAAAUUUUUCCUCUGGAUUUUCAACUUUUUGCUACUGAAAAAUUCAAAUCCAAUUCUCCAUUUGAAUUUUUUCAAUAGGAAAAAGUUGAAAAUCAGGAGAAAAAAACUGAUUUGCCAUUCUUCUAUUACAAAGGGAUAAGGAUGGUAUGGAAUCAUAGUUUUAUACAAUCUAUUCUCAUAUAUUUGAUGUAUAAAAUUUUGAAAAUAAUAAAACUUAAUGAAUUUAACAACUACUAUGUAAUUUUUUUUAAAAAAUUGGACUGACCCGGUUUGAUCAUCGAUUCGCUGGUCCAACUAGUCCAAUUAAAAAUUAUUAAGAAUUCAAAAAAUAAUAAUAAUUAAAAAAUCUGGUUCAAUUGAUUUUUACUUGGUUUAAUCAGUCCGUAUUGAUUUCUAGGUUAAUUGAUUCAAAGCCCCUAUUUAAAUUGGUACCUUAAUAGGAUUCAAAUUUUAAAAUUAAAAAAUUAAACGACUUAAAUAAUAGAUAUUAAUUGUAAAAAUAAAAUUAUAGAGAUUGAAUCACAACUAUAUAAAAAAAACCAUCAUAAUAUAAUUUAUCCUAAUAAUUAAUAGUUCUUACCUACCAUGUUAUUUAUGAGAAAUGGAGAAGCCGUCGUUAUGGGAGGGGAGUAUAUAUAUACACAUGUACACCAGGGAAGCCGCAAAACUGCAAAACUGAGAGUAAAAAGAGAGACCACAAUGGGAGAAGAAAAUAAAACCAGAAAUUUACCCUAUGUUUUAAUCUUCCUAUCCCAGUCCAAGGCCACAUAACCCCCAUGUCCCAUUUCGCAAAACGCUUAGUCUCCAAAGGCAUCAAAACCACCUUAGUCACCACCGUCUUCAUCUCCAAUCCUUCUUUCCCAACCCAUGCUCCACCACCUCCACCGACCUCGAAACCAUAUCCGACGGCUUCGACGAAGGCGGCUCUAACCAGGCCCCUAGCACCAAAGUUUACCUUCAAACGUUUUGUUCCGUGGGUUCUAACAGCUUGGCAACUUUAACUAAGAAACUCGUCGAUACUGGCGAUCGUCCUGUUCUUGUCUACGAUAGGGUUCUCACGAUGGGCGUUGGACGUUGCAAAGCAGUUUGGGAUACCGCCGGCUGUGUUUUUCACCCAAUCUUGUGCUGUCAACAAUGUGUAUUACCAUGUUAGUAAGGGGAUUCUUCAGCUGCCACUGCUUCCGGAGGUUAAUGUUUCACUCCCUGAAUUGCCUUUGCUUCAAGUUUCGGAGCUACCGUCGUUUAUUUCUGAUUAUGAACCGCAGUCGGCUUGGUUUGAUGUUACUGUGAAACAGUUUGAGAACGUAGAUGGAGCUGACUGGGUGGUUUUUAACAUUUUUUACGAAUUAGAGGAGGUAUGUCCUUUCUUAAUACUACUUCUUUUGCUUUGGAUUAAUUUUGAGUACUAUUCCGGUUUGAAACUCAAGUAGGAAUGUAACUUAGCCGAGUGAAAUUAAAAUAAUAUUAAAUUCUUCAUUUGAAUUUCAAAGUUUAAUCCAUCUAAUAAUUUUAAGUUUGAGUUCGGCUCAAGACAUAAUUAAGUUACUCGACUUUGAAUUUGAUUAAGUUUAUAUAUCUAUUUUGCUACUUAAGUUCAAACUUGAGUUUGAUUAAAUUCGUUCUAGCAUAAGCUCUUUUAAUAUAAUAUAAAAAUAUAUUAAAAUGAAAAACUUGAUGAAGCUUCCGAGCUGUUGAAAUCGAGUAUUAUAGUGCUCGAAUUCAACUCGAUUGUCCGCUCGAACUAUUAGAGCUAGAGUCUGGCCCAAUAAUUACUAAAUUAAAUUUGAAUUUUUUUUUUGACUUGAACUUGAAUAACUUGUGAGUACUAGUCAUUUACACUCUUAGGCUUGAGUUAUCUAGUCAAGUAACUUUGGAUUUAGAUCAUUUCAAGUUUCGGUCAUUUUAAGUUUGGGUCAAUUCAAGUUCAAGUUGGACCAUUUUCAAAUUGUUUCUUUUAGGCCAAAUUAAUCAGAUUGAUAAGUUGAAUUUCUGAGUCUAGGUCAUAUUGUUAGAUAUACGUUGGUAAUUAUUAACUUCAUAUACACUUAUCAAUUCCGUAAAUUAGAUUGGUUUUUGGGUUAGAAAAAUUUGGAUCGGAUCAGUUUGAGUUUUGAAAUUUUUGAAUAAUUUUGAUUUUGUUUAGUUUCGGGUUUGAAUAAACUUUGAUUUGAUUCGUCUUAAGUUUGGAUUGUUUUGGUUCUGAAUCAUUUGAGUUUGAGACUUGAGGUUUUUUUUUUCAAAUUUAGAUCGUUUAAUGUUCAAAUUAUUUUAGACUACCGGUUCAAGUUCUUUUGAUUUUAGAUAAAUUUUAGAUUCAAAUCAUUUGAUUAAUUCAAAAGUAUAGGUCGGAUGAGUUUAGACUCUUGAUUUUAAUGAUCAAAUUAGAUUGAAUUAAAUUUAAAUUUGAAUUGAUUUCGGAUUAAGGUAUUUUCAUUCAUAAUUAUCAACUUAAUUACUAACUGAUUGUUGAUUAGGUGGUGGAUUGGAUGUCAAGUUUUUGGAACGUAAUGACAAUAGGACCAACAAUUCCAUCAAUGUAUUUAGACAAACGACUUGACGACGACAAAGACUACGGCAUGAAUCUCUUCAAUCCAGAGACAGAUGCUUGUCGGAGUUGGCUAAACGGCAAGCCAAACGGCUCAGUCGUGUACGUCUCAUUCGGAAGCCUUGCAUUACCGGAAGCCAACCAAAUGCAAGAGCUAGCUUUGGCCUUGAAAGGCAGCGAUUGUAACUUCUUAUGGGUCGUAAGGGAAACAACCGAAAUGGCCAAACUCCCAACCCUUUUCAUAGAGGAAACUAAGGAGAAAGGCUUGGUGGUGACUUGGUACAAUCAACUCGAGGUGUUGUCUCACGACUUGAUAUGUUGUUUUCUCACCCAUUGCGGUUUGAAUUCCGUUCUCGAAGCGUUGAGUCUUGGUGUUCUGAUGUUGGAGAUGCCGUUUUGGACCGAUCAGAUCACAAAUGCGAAGCUAGUGGAGGAUGUAUAUGGGGCAUUGGGAUUACGGGUCGGCGAAAUCAGAAUGAUUUAGCGACGAAAGAGACGAUCGAGCGGUGCUUAAACGAAUUCGUAAAUGGAGAAAAGGGUAAAGAGAUUAAGAUGAAUACAAUCAAAUGGAAGAAUUUGGCUAAAAAGGCGGUCGAAGAAGGUGGAAUUUCAGAUAAAAACAUUGAUGAAUUUAUAGCUAAAUUACUUGAAAAUUAUUAUGUUACGACCUUCUUUAUAAAUAAAUAAAAAAUGCAUGCAUGCAUGCAUGCAUGCAUUUUUCUAAUGUAAUUUAGCUAUAAAUUCCAUGCAUUAAUUACAACAUAAUGGUUAUUUGUUUUUUUAUCACAUGAUAGCUUUUAAUUGGUUGUUUUUUUUUUCUAAUGAAGGGUCAUUUGGGUCAUGAAAAGUUAGUUUAGGUUUUAAAAAAAAAUAAAUACCAAGGAUGAGAAAAAUGUACAAUUUAAGUACCUUUAAAAAAUAAAAAAAUAAACAAGAAAUAGAUAAGAAAAAAGAAUAGAAGAAAGAAAAUUUAUUAUUAAAAUAUUAAUUAUAAAUCAGUUCAAUAUUUUAUAAAUUAUUUGUAAUAAAAUAUUGUUUAUAAUUUAAAAUAUGACUUUUUUGGUCUUUAGUUAUAUAAAUUUUUAAAAAAAUAAUUUUAUAAAAGCAAUAGAAUUAAAUAACAUUAUAUUAAUUGUAAAUACAAAAAAAAAUGUAUUUAUUAUGUAAAAGAGAAGAAAGGAAUGGUGAAAACAGUGUCAGAAUAGCUGACGGAAGGAUCUCAUCUGAGUGAUACUAAUCAUUUUGGAUUAAAUUAGAACAAUUUAAAAUUUAGGGACUGAUUUAAAAUCUGAUCGUACUUCGAGGACCUCUAGUGCAAAUAAUGUUUUUAAGAUGUGUGCAUUAUCCAUUACUUUUGUUAUUGGGCCAAGCCCAGCACGUUCAAUUUAUUCCGACAAGAUCUUAUGAUCUUAGAUACCAGAAAACAUGGGUCAAAAACUCAAAAUCUUUGUCUGAAUCACACGUGGCAUAACUUUAAGAGCACCCCUCAAUUUUCACUAACACCACACCUCUUUCACGCAUAAAUGCUUUAAUGUCCGAUAGCAAAAUUCGAGAGUGCUCCAAUUAAAAAAAAACAAAAAACAAAAAUGGCUAUGCACUGACUCACACUGCAUUGCUUAAUAUAAAACCUUAGCUUUUUUACCUUCACUUUCCUCUCUUUUGCUCUCUCUUUCUCUCUUAGGGAUUGAAGAACAGUAGCUUAGCAGCCACACAUAUCCCCUCUUUUGAACCUCCCCCCCACCCCCCCCAAAAAGGAAAAAGAAAAAUGGAUUAAUAAUUCGAAAUCUCCUUCGGAUUAGUCGAAUUAGGUCAGUUUAUCACUCCAUUUCCCUUUGAAUCAAGUCAGGUAAAUUUCCUCUUUACUUUUUUAUUCCUUUCUUUUCGUUUUCAUUUUCUCUCCAGAUCGGCACUAUUUUCUUUUAAAUUUGUUGACUUUUUUAUGCUUCUGGAAUCCCAUGUCUUGAACUGUUAAAUUUCGUGUUUUUAUUUGCUUUGUGCUGAUUUUGCUUUUUUAGAGGGUUUGGUGGGUUUUUUUCUUGGUUUAGGGUUUAGGAUCUAGGGGUUGGUGGUGUGUUUUUAUGUGAAAUUGAAGCUUGUAAAAUCACUGGUGAGAGCAUUUACUUCUUUAAUGUAAAAUUAUAUGCUUCUCUGUAUUUAGGCUUUCUAGGGUUAAGCUGGAUCUCUCUCUCACUUUAUAUCUAUUUCUCUUUUGUCUUGAAGACUUAUUUGUAGGAUUUGUGUAGGGUUUGAAAUGGGGUUUGUUUUCUAUUUAUUGCAAUAAAGGUAUAUUUACUAUGAACAUAAUAAUGCUGAAAUUGUAAGUGAUAGUUGUAUUAAAUUAAAUUUGGGAACUUAUUUUUAAGUGGUCCUUAUUGAGUCAAGCCAUUUAGAAUGGGGAAGUAGUGAAAAGUAGGAAUGAAUUUGGAUUUUCUGAAAAUCAUUAUCUUCCAACAUGGAGCUUAGAUCAUUUGUGGUCUUUCUUUGGGGAAGUGUUAUUGUUGUGAGAGGAUUACUAGAAGUCUGUUUCAUGUUGUAAUAUUUGUUGUUUGAGGAUGAAAUCUUGUUCUGAUCCAAGGUAAACUUGCUUCUUUUGGAAAUUGUUGAUGGAUAUUAACGAAGGAAUAGUAUCAUAGUUGUGGAACCGAGUUAGAAAUAUAUGUAGAAAAAAGUUCUCGGGAUUGUCAACCGGAGUCUGUCUUUUUAGUGGAUGGAACUGUUAUUCAUGGCGUGUUUUUUUGUUUUUACUUUUCCUGUUGUCCACUCAAUAGUGCUACUUUUCUUUUAGAAAAUGGGUCUAGUAGGAUCAUAAUGGGAAAUUUUGUUUAGCGACUUGGUAGUUCUGCUAACUUUUUCCACAGUAUGUCUAUUUUAUGCUGUGACUUGUCGCUGGUGAGCAAGUGAGGGAUCAGGUAGGGAUAACUUGAGAUGCUGCUUUCUUUUCCUCUUUUUAUUUAUUUAGAGUGAAGGAUCGCAGCUCACUUUAGUAUAAAAUAUUUGGCAUUGAUGUGACUAGACGUAUCCCCAUUCUGUGUUGUGGCUAAUAAGUACAACUUGUACAAUGGAUCAAGUGAUUUCAAGCAGCAGAUUCUCCCGAAACCCUGUCCCUUCUUGUGAAUACUGAAACAUUAAAUGCUCAUCUUUUGUAAGUAUCCAUGUGGUCUGAAUACUGCAAAAUUUUGAAGGAUGUGUAGCCAUGUCUUAAUUGACUUUGUUUCUUAUCGUGAAAGUGUGGAAAGGAAAUGUUAAUAACGGUAGGAAGUGUCAUUAAUGAGUAAUCCGAUCCUUUUGUUUUUUAUCAUGAAAGUGUUGGUUGCUAAGGAAUCUGUAAAUGGUUCUUACAGUGGAUUACAAACGUAGUUGUCGACAUUUUCUUGAUAUACAUGUAUUCAAGUUGUAGUAUUUUGCCAUAGUUUUGCUUAUAACUAUGCAAGUCCUCUAGUUUUGUUGCUCUUUACUUUAUUCUCUUCAGUUUAUAUUGCUGUGCUUUAUUAGUAACUUGUUAUCAGUGUUACAGGCAAUGUUCAGUUAUUUGAAAUAGAAAAGAUAUGUUUGGUUAUGUCAGACUUUAUCUUUCGUGUUAUUCAGUUUCUUAUUUUCUGUUUUGCUGAUGUCUUUCUCUUUCAGUUUUUAUGCCAUGGAAGAUUCACAGUCAGUUGCAACACUCAUAGGCUCGACAGCCUCCAAGAUACAGCAGCUUCAAAAAGCAUUUGCUGAACUUGAAAGUCAGCGUGCUCUAACACUUAAUCUAAGAUGGAAAGAACUUGAGGAACAUUUCAGUGGUCUUGAGAAGUCCUUGAAGAGACGCUUCCAUGAGUUGGAAGACCAAGAAAAGGAAUUCGAGACAAAAACAAGGAAAGCUCGAGAAAUGCUACAGAAGCGUGAAGCAGCUGUUGUAGCUAAAGAACAAUCCUCAUUGGUGAGGUUACAAGAAAAGAGAGAUGCUGCUGUUUUUUCCAUUACUAAUGCUUUAGAGAAGCACAGGAAAUUAUCAUCUGGGCAGCCUGCUGAUAAUGGAGAUAAUGGUGAACUCUCAGUUGAGGAGAAACAACCUGAGGAUAUCAAAAGUUCUUUUGAGAAUGGAAAUCUCGAGGUGAAAUCUUAUCCUCAAUUGGUAAAACUAUGUGAAGAAAUGGACUCUGAAGGACUACAGAAGUUUAUUUCAGAUAAUCGUAAGAACCUUCCUGCUCUGAAAGAGGAAAUUCCUUGGGCGUUGAAAGCUGCAGCAAGUCCAGCUCGCUUGGUCCUGGAAUCGUUGGAAGGAUUUUACCCUUCAGAAGUUGAUGGAAAGAAAGAUGCAAACCUAUUGGGGCUUAGGCGAACUUGUAUUAUGUUGAUGGAAUGUCUUAGUGUCUUGCUUUCUAAUCUGGAUAUGGUUUCUGUUUUGGCUUUGAUCUCUGAAGAUAUUAAGGAACAAGCAAAGCUAAUUGCUGAGGAAUGGAAACCAAAGCUGGAUGCUCUUGACAUGGAUGCUAGUAAUGGUAACUCAUUGGAAGCUCAUGCUUUUCUGCAACUUAUCGAUACAUUUGGUAUUGCUUCUGGUUUCAACGAAGAAGAACUUUCAAGGCUGAUACCAAUGGUCUCUCGUCGGCGACAAGCAGCUGAUCUCUGCCGUUCCCUUGGUUUAUCUGAGAAAAUGCCAGGUCUGUUCAGUAUCAACUUACACUAGCACAAGUAACCUGGUUAAUUUAUAGUGCAUGUGGUUAAUUUGUACAUUAACUUUUAUUUAUCAUUUAGGUGUAAUUGAAGUUCUGGUGAAAAAUGGAAGGCAGAUUGAUGCAGUUAACCUGGCUUUUGCAUUCGAGCUAACAGAGCAGUUUUCACCUGUGCCAUUACUGAAAUCCUACUUGAAGGAGGCUAGAAAAGCUUCUUCACCUGUAAAGCCUGGAAAUGCCUCUCCCACUGCCCAGGUGUGUUUUUUAUUGGUUUGCCUACUACUGGCCAAAUAUAUUUCGGUUUGCUAUUAACUUAUAAUGUCAAAUUUAUCCCUAAACGUUUACAUCUUUUGUCAAUUUGGCUCUUAUUCUUUUUUUGAGCUAAAUUUGACUCCCUCAAUCUUUUGAAAAGAGUCAAAUUUGAUCAUCAAUCUUUUGAAAAAGAGUUGAAAUGAUGUUUUUAACAAGAAUACUAACUAAAAUGUUAAAUUUUUAAACACAACAGCCUGCAUGACAAUGCACGUGAAUUUAAUAUUAAUUUUUUUGAAUUUUUUGUAUUUUUAAUUUAAAUUUUGAUUUUUUAAUUUUUUUAAUUUUUAAAUUAUUUGUUGAUGUGACAUAGAAAGCAAAUGAUGUUAUGUUAGCAUGAUGUGCACACGGAUUGCCAUGCGAGUUGUCCCACCAGCCACGUUAAAAAGUAAUGUUUUAGUCAUCAUUUUCGCUAAAAAAAGCAAUUUGACUCUUUUUUGAAAGAAUAAGGGUCAAAUUUAGUAAAAAAAAAGGAAUAAGGGCCAAAUUGAUGGAAAAUGUAAAUGUUGAGGGCUAAAUUUAUUGUUAUGUCUACUAUUAAACAUGUUUGAGGGGCAAGCACAUUUUUAUUAUUUUUGCUCACAAGGCCUUGUCUGAAGCCGAUUGGACCAGCUUUUUGGCUAGUUUACCCAUUCUUACACCCUUGUGUCUUGCCUGACCAUUUAGUAUAUGAUUUGGCCAGUUGUGUUUUUGCAUUCUCGAAAAUGAAUCACUAAUUGCUUCUGUGUUUUCAGACUGAAGUUAGUGAACGGGAAUUGACUGCUCUUAAGGCUGUGAUUAAGUGCAUUGAAGAACAUAAUCUGGAGGAGCAAUACCCUGUCGAUCCACUUCAGAAACGAGUUCUCCUGUUAGAGAAAGCAAAAGCAGACAAGAAAAGGGCAACUGAAGUUGCAAAGCCUCAACCCAAGAGGCCUCGUGCUAAUGGUGCCGGAUAUGGUCCUCGAGUCACUAACGUAGCUGCUGACAAAACAUUCUAUCCCAGAGUCACUGACAGGUACAUGCAGUACGUGUAUGACAGACCCUAUGUUUACCCCGGACCUGCUGACAACCACAGCCACUCUCUUCUUGCUUCUGCUACCUUCAACUUCUCUCCUAGUCAUGGGAACUACUUUGGAAACGGGUACCAGUAUCAGACUCCGUAUCUUCACUAAUUCCCAAACAUGGCAUAAAGGUAACUAUGAUCCUCUCACUUUAGCUGUUAGCUUUAACCUUUCAGGUGCAGUGUAUGAAUGGAUUUAGUAUUUAAAAAAAAAAACAACAAAAAAUGGAAAAAAAAAUGUGCUGUUUAAUUUGAAUCUGGUGUAGACGAAGAUAUUUUGAUCCUCUAAUAUAUAUGCACUCUUUAUAUGUAUAUCCGUUGUUUUAUUCUUUUAUAUUUUGUUCUUUUCUCCUAGUUUUGUAUGGAUUGUGGACUUUGCACAGGUAAGUGUUUGGUAUGCUACAUGGUGUAUUCUAACAGGAUAAUAUUCUUAUCCUAUAUAUACACACAACAAUGGCUAGCUCGGGUUGGGGUUCAUCCUUUUUUAUCGGAACGGGAAUGCAGCACAUUUUUGUGGUUAAUCGCUUUAUCUGUUUAGAGAAUACUUGCGAUGAGGGAUGUUGGUAACAAAAAAAAGAACUCAGCUCAGACCUACAGAGGUCCAAAUACCAAGCAUGGACAAGCAGCUGGAUCAGUCCACUGCCUCAGUCUAACACCAAUCCAGUUCACCACCUCAUAACACCAAUAAUAGCAAACUAAUUUUUUUUUUUUUACAACUUGCAACGAUUAUUUUAAAAGGUUACAAAAUGUUUAUUAAAUUAUUUAAAAUUUUUUAUUUAAGUUAAUUAUUUAAAUUUUUUUAUUUAAAUUAUUGGAUUAACUUUUUUUAAAAGGUUUGGUUAGCGAGUUCUAAGUGACUAUUUAAUGAUCGAUAUAGUUGAUUAAUAUUUAUCGACGAGUAGAAAAAUAUAUAUUAGAUUUAAGUUACGAUUUAACGAUCAGUGUUGGAAAUUGAAAAGAAAAUUGUUUGCAUUUUGGUUUAUAAAUUUGUAAUGUUUAAAAUUGUUUAUUUAAAAGAAAAUCGAACUGUAAAAAAAAGGAAACUAGAGAUUUUAGUUGAUGCAAUAGUGUGUAAAUAGUCAAAUGACUUAACUUUUUUGAAA